RNAcentral lists this long non-coding RNA (81860 nucleotides) under Olea europaea (common olive). Its description in RNAcentral is "long non-coding RNA (OEUR_LNC007785)". Lineage: Eukaryota; Viridiplantae; Streptophyta; Magnoliopsida; Lamiales; Oleaceae. The record is from RNAcentral.
CUGAAUCUUAGUAGGGUCAGCAGACACCCCUGUCGACGAGACAAUGAACCCCAGAAAAACUACGCUAUCGGUGAAAAAGGAACAUUUCUUGACAUUAGCAUACAGGUUAGUCUCGCGAAGGGUAGAGCAAACUUAUUUGAGGUGGUCACGGUGUUGCUCCUUAGUUUUACUAUAGAUGAGGAUAUCAUCAAAGUAGACAACGAGAAAUUCACCUAUGAACGGCCGAAGAGUUUGUGUCAUUACCCGCAUGAAGGUACUCGGCGCAUUACUUAGCCCAAAAGGCAUGACCAGCCAUUCAUAAAGGCCAUCUUUCAUCUUAAACGCGGUCUUCCACUCAUCCCCUGGGCGAAUUCUAAUUUGAUGGUACCCACUCUUUAGAUCGAUCUUUAAAAAAAUUGUCGCGCCAACCAUCAUAUCCAGCAUAUCAUCAAGCUUGGGAAUGGGAAAACGAUACUUCGCCGUGAUCUUAUUGAUAGCGCGACUAUCCAUACACAUUCUCCAAGAUCCAUCCUUUUUGGGCGUCAAUAGGGCGGGGACAGCACAUGGGCUUAAACUCUCACGAAUGAAUUCUUUGUUGAGAAGGUCAUCCACUUGCCUUUGGAGCUCAGCGUGCUCGGUAGGAUUCAUACUAUAAUGUGGCAAAUUUGGAAGGGAUGCGUCGGGGACGAAAUCUAUGGCAUGCUGAAUAUCUCUUAGCGGAGGUAGAUGAUCAGGUAGGUCCUCCGGAAAGACAUCUUGAAACUCUUGAAGGAUCGAUUGGACUUCCGCAGUAUCCUCACUUGUGGAGUUAGAUGAAACCUCCAUGACUACUAAGGCGAACACAAUUGAGUCACCAACAAUUGUACGCUCAAACUCUGUAGGACUAAUGAUAUGCAACCCCUUUUGUUCCACACUUUUCUUCGCUUCUAGUGAGCCAGCUAGCUUUGGGGGUAGUGGGUUAAGGUGAAUCUUCUUUCCAUUAAACACGAAGGAGCAGGAAUUGGAUCGACCAUAUAUGGUUACAUCUAGGUCAAAUAGCCAAGGUCGUCCUAAGAUGAUGUGUCCGACGUCCAUCGAAAUAACGUCACACCAUAUAUGGUCCUUAUAUUCCAGGAACUGGAUAGGGACUAAACAACGCUCCUUAACAGCUAUAGAGGAGGUGUCAACCCAAGAGACACUAUAAGGUUGGGGGUGAGGAACUGGCUUCAACCCUAGACGGGAUAUAGUAGCCUUCGAAACCGUAUUAAUACAACUGCCACUAUCCACGAUAACUUUACAGCCCUUGUUACUAAUCUUGAUGUAAGUGUGGAAGAUGGCAUGACGGCGCCAAUCGUCGGCAUCCUUAGGCUGGGUGAGGGUGCAACGGACGACACCGACUCUGGGUGUAUGUGGGAUAAUGGGACUAGCCUGAAUACAACCUAAGAAGGUAUCCUCACUGUCCUCCAAGUCUUCAAACUCUUCUAACUUAGGCUCAUAAACCUGAUCCUCUAGUGGUUCGACGACUAUAUCCUCACGUUCGUCCAGAACUAGGGCUCGACUAGGGCACUUAGAAGUAAUGUGACCAAAACCCUUACAGUUGAAGCAUUGCAAAUGGGAGGAUGUCCUUGAAACCUCAGAACCUCUACCUUUGCUAUCCGAUGCAGGGGUAGUAUUAGAGGGAGGAGGACCUAGAAUAGACUUAGGGGAUGGCGUGGAUGCAGAUGAGGUUGUAGUGCGGGAGUCACUACGAUUUCUAUNNNNNNNNNNNNNNNNNNAUCCCGAACGAAAGAGUAGGCGUGGUCGAGAGUGGUGACACCCCUAAGGACAAGCUCGCGCCUAAGUUCGUCUCUUAAGCCUUGCCUAAACCUACUCAAAGUCAUAACUUCAUCCUCAACAACCUGACAUUUCAUUCGAAACUCAUCAAACUGAGCAACAUAUUCGGUCACGGGUCGAUUGCCUUGUGUAAGUGCGUUCCAUUGAUCCAGCAAGUUACCCCUAUAAGAUUGGGGUAAAUANNNNNNNNNNNNNNNNNNNNNNNNNNNNNNNNNNNNNNNNNNNNNNNNNNNNNNNNNNNNNNNNNNNNNNNNNNNNNNNNNNNNNNNNNNNNNNNNNNNNNNNNNNNNNNNNNNNNNNNNNNNNNNNNNNNNNNNNNNNNNNNNNNNNNNNNNNNNNNNNNNNNNNNNNNNNNNNNNNNNNNNNNNNNNNNNNNNNNNNNNNNNNNNNNNNNNNNNNNNNNNNNNNNNNNNNNNNNNNNNNNNNNNNNNNNNNNNNNNNNNNNNNNNNNNNNNNNNNNNNNNNNNNNNNNNNNNNNNNNNNNNNNNNNNNNNNNNNNNNNNNNNNNNNNNNNNNNNNNNNNNNNNNNNNNNNNNNNNNNNNNNNNNNNNNNNNNNNNNNNNNNNNNNNNNNNNNNNNNNNNNNNNNNNNNNNNNNNNNNNNNNNNNNNNNNNNNNNNNNNNNNNNNNNNNNNNNNNNNNNNNNNNNNNNNNNNNNNNNNNNNNNNNNNNNNNNNNNNNNNNNNNNNNNNNNNNNNNNNNNNNNNNNNNNNNNNNNNNNNNNNNNNNNNNNNNNNNNNNNNNNNNNNNNNNNNNNNNNNNNNNNNNNNNNNNNNNNNNNNNNNNNNNNNNNNNNNNNNNNNNNNNNNNNNNNNNNNNNNNNNNNNNNNNNNNNNNNNNNNNNNNNNNNNNNNNNNNNNNNNNNNNNNNNNNNNNNNNNNNNNNNNNNNNNNNNNNNNNNNNNNNNNNNNNNNNNNNNNNNNNNNNNNNNNNNNNNNNNNNNNNNNNNNNNNNNNNNNNNNNNNNNNNNNNNNNNNNNNNNNNNNNNNNNNNNNNNNNNNNNNNUGUGAAAUAUAAUCGAAUAGGUUUAAGGCAGUAUUAUCAAAGGGCUAGUACACAUCAAUGGAAUUUAGUUCGUGAAAUACAAUCAAAUAGGUUGAAGGCAAUAUUAUCAAAUGGCCAGCACACAACGAAUUAAUUGAUGCAAUUCUAAAAUAAAGAAAUAGCGUUAACUAAAAAUAAAUAGGAUUAGGAACUCCCUGAGUACUGUUGGUUUGAGUCGUCCCAGCGUCGAAUGUCUCCACGUUCUGAACUACUAAGCCCUAAGAUGCCAAGAUAGAAAAUUUCGUGCUCGUCGAGGUGCGGUACUGAACAGUCAACUAAAAUGAACCUAUAAAUGAUGUCAGAAAAUUUAAAAUCCACGAUACCUUUUUUUUUUUUUUUUUUUGACUCUCUUUUUUUUUGACUUUUUUUUUUAAUAAUAAUACAAAAUCAGAAUAACAAAAUAAUAAAUGAGCCAAUUUCACAAAUUUGGGCCUAAAUCACACUCAAAACCUUAAACAAGCCCAAGCCCAAGCAAUACAAAUAACCCAACCCACUUAAUUAUUAAAUCAAUUAAUUAAUAAUCCAAUUAACCCAACCCAAUAACUAAGAACCCAACCACUUAAUUAAUAACCCAAUUAACCCCAUAAUUCAUUAUAACAAGUCGCGACUGAAGGCUGCCAAAACCGGCGACUGGACUGGUCGACGAGGAACGUCUCAACGACGUUGGGCUUGGCCGGCGAUUACUGGAGCAGCCGGCAGUUUGCUGGCGACUGUUGGUGGCGGCGAGGCUGGGGUUCCGUUUAGAGGAAAUGAAAAUGGAUGGUUUGGUCGGGUUUGAGGCGGCGAAUGGAGGCUGUAGUGUUCGGGUGUUGAUUAUUGCAUGAUGCCGGAGCCUUUGAAGGUUGAAGAUUAGGCAAUUUUUUUAGACUUUAGCUACCAUUUGACGGUUUAGUUUUUGGGUGUUCAUGGGUAUCAAUUUAUGCAAACGAUAUCAUAUGUACAAAGAUAAGAACGGUUAAGGGAUAAAAAAUUUCACAUCGAAUAAAGAUGAAAAAUACUGACCAAUUUGUAAAAGUUUGGAUUACACCUUUUAUUAAGCUUGACUUUUUAAAAUGAAAUUUCAGGUCGUCAUCCGGUAUAAGAGCCAAUAAAGCUCCGACGAGCAAUUUAUCUGACUAAGACUCAAAAAAUGAGUAUGCAAUAAUUUCAAGAUUGGUUUACUCAAAUGAGUCAUUAUUCUGCGAUCAAAUAAAGAUGAAAAAUAUAGAACAACUUAUAAGAACUUGUACUACUCUUAAUAAGGUUAAUUUUUGAGGAUGGAAUCUUUAAAUCUUAAUAAGAACCCAUUGAUGGAUUCUUCAUUUUUCUUCUCUCUAUGGUUGAUCAACUUGAUCUGUAUAGAAGUAAAAAUGUUCUUCGAUGCUCACUUUUGUUAUGGCAUUUUCACACCUUCGUUUUGUUUUCACUCUUUUGAGGGAGGAACGAAUGACAGGCUGUCCACCAGAUUUAUUUUGUGUUACCUUGAGUUCAUUGUUUUUGUAGUAGUUAGAUUCUUAUGAAAAAGGAACUACGAUAAUUUUAGAACAUCCUUUUCAUUUUCUUUCAUCGAAGGUUUUAAAAGGCACAAGGUCUGAUAAAACGAGGAGGUCAAGCUUUGAUCCUAGACGUAAUAAAACAUUAUCCAAUUUUCAAUAUUAUUUUAAUUAUUUUAGAUCAAUCGAUAAAUAAAUAAUGUAUACCUUAAAAAAAUUUAUACAUUUCAAUAAAAAUAAUCAUAUAUAUAAGUAUAAAAUAAGAGGAAAAAAUUGAAAAUUUUAAGUUAUGAUAGGAGGUUUCUGGAAAUUAAAGCAAAUUUGCUCUGUAUUUUAUAUACUCUUAACUUGAUUAGAAGUUCUUGUAAACAUCAUCAUUUCCACUAUGUUUUUAACAUUCCCAAUUAAUUUACUAGGGCAGCAAGUAAAAACUGUCAAACCAAAUCGAAAUAAUCUUUUUCGAAACCUGUAACAGCUAAAAAUAAUUCAAAAAAAAAAUUAAAAAAAAUACCACUUCUAUAAUUUUUAACAAAAAAUGAAACAAAGGUCACACUAGAAAAAUUCAUUUUUUCAAAUUAAUUUUCAAAUCGCUUUAAUUAAUAGAUAAUUCAUUAAUCUAGUAAGCAUUAUGAGCUAAUGCAGAUUAUUAAAUGGAACACUAGUGCUUAAAUUCAUACUGGUAUAGUCAAUCAUUAAGCUUCAACCAAAUUUUCACAAGAUAAUCCCUAUAUAUAAUGUUUUUACUUUCUUGUCAAUAAACUAGAAAAGCACUUUAUGACUAUUAACAAGUAUAUACAUGGAAAGUGCAUUUUCAAACCAUAACCAAGAAACCUCAUUAAAGAUUUUCAAUCCAUAACAAGUUAUGUACCAGUCCCAAGAACUCCAUAAGAAAACACCCUUUUUCAAUACAAAAAGAAAAACAAACAGCAUUUUCUGCUCAAACACCCAUAAAUAGCCGGCACUGCGACUCCCAGUGCUCCUUCGUUUGCUGUAUUCUCUCCGUUUUAUCAAUUUUGCGACGUUCCACCCAAUACUCGGGGCAGCUGUUUUAAACAUAGCACGAGUGAGUUACACAGUACCCAACCAUACAUGAAAAUGUAUGCACACAACUUGUUAUAUGUUUGGUAUAUAGUACUAGACUGGAUAAUGUAUAAUACAAAAGAUUUUAGCUGCCAGUGUUGUACAGUGAUCCCUACCAGACAUGGCAUCAGAAUAUAAGUUACCUUCGGUUCAAUAGAACAUGUAGCUCCUCUAAAUGUACAGCACCUUCAUAUACCCCUGCCUGAAAUUAAUCGAUAGAAGAUUAUGGAACAAUGAAGUGUUUGUUCAGAGAAGAUAUAAAAGACGAUCUGGUACUACUCAUUCAAACAUAUUAGGACUCUAUUGGAACAACAAACCCAAGCCUCUUUCACGGUUUAUACCAUAUACGAGGGUUCAGUCAUCUUAGUGAAAGUCCUACUUUGUAUUAUUCAGAUGUAUUAAAAUUUACAUGUAAAAUUCCAGCCAGGCAAGGACUGAAAGAUGAAGAACUCACCUCUCGGCAUAUGGGACAUUUUUCUUUAGGAUGUGCUUCCUUCAACCCAUCCACUAUGGUCACGGAUGCAGCUUUGCACGCACACAUGCAGCAGAAGAUAUGACCACAAGUAAGAGAUACUGGAUCAAAUACUGUAUCCUGUUAGAAACACAUUAAGCUCGACUAAGAGAGAGGUGUCAUAAACAGAUGAUAAAUUUGAGAUUCUACAUCAACAGUCUAGAACAAAGACAAAAAUGCAUGCUCAUCUAUUUCCUUAUCUGUUUCUGAACAAGAAUUCAAAUUGGAAACUUAAAGUAACUGAACAAAAAGCAAACAUGGUCAACCAGUUACAUCUGAAAGUAAAAUCUAGACUAAAAUGCAUGUGUAUUUUUCCUUGUGCAAAUGUAAAAGCUGUUCCCAUAUCUUUGUGAAGAUCAAAUAUUAGUGUUAUAUCAUUCUACUCAUCUACAAAGAUGCAUCACUUGCAAAAUUUUCAGUUCUUUUGAGGAAUUCUUCAAAAUUCUUGGCAUAUAAUGUUCUUUGAAGCAUCAGUUUAGGGGGCGUAAGGGAGCCAUUCCACCAGCAGGACAGUCCGGGACAACGUUCUGAGGCCCAUGGGCCACGGUCCACAUGGACCUGUCGACUGGCAAAGAAUAGGCCUUUGGGGUUAUUAUCUUUUUUUUCUCUUCUCAAGUUCACUGUGCAAUCUUGUAUUUCUUUCGAAACUUAAUAUAACCCUUGAAUAAUUUUCUCUCCUCGACAGGCCACCACAUAAAGCUUGUAUGGACCACCGACAAUAUAACCUCAUUUAGCUAUUAUUGAUAGAGUUUGUUAAUGUUUACACGAUAGACUCAUACCACCUAGCAUCAGUGUAAAACCAAAACAAUUGUGCAUUCAAGUGAUACAGAUUAAAAGAUGGGGCACCUGACCCCAAAAUAAAAGGAACGAAGAAAAUAAAACCAUGUGACUAGCAGUACUUUAGGGCAAGAUAGGGGCACUAACCAAACAUAUAGAACAAGUCAAGUCAAUGUCGAGCUUGAUUGAAUCAAAGAGAUCACAAGAGAGAGAUGGUUUUCCAUCAUUCAGUAUGAGAGAACACCCUUCAAAAAAUGCAGGAACCUUUUUUGCAUACGAAUUAGUCUCUCUCAAGUUUAUGUGAAAAGCCAUAAGCUCACACAGCCAUGGAGAUUGAAGGAUCUCAAUACGCUUACUUUGGGCUUGAGACUUGAAUGCUAGACCUUGCUUAGAGCAGUGAAUCUAUAUUCAAAAAAGACAAUUUUUAAUGAUGUGUAAUGAAUGGAGAGUAUUUUGUGCUUGUGCUCGACCUAGAGUAUUAACAAGAGUACCUUAUCAUAUUUCUUCAGUAUUUUACGCAUAGCAACGGCGUUAAUGAGAGCAUAUGUGACCAGGUCCCGGCCUUCUUGAACCAGUGCUGCGUGAUUUCCAUGUGAUUUACCCUUCAACCAGAUAAAGAACCCGCGAAAACCUGAUGCCAGGUGCACCUCAAGCAAUCUCUGCGCGCGUUGGUUGAAGGAGCCAACCACAUCAGACAUUUCCUUACAAAGUGAAGAGAAAAAGGUCCCAUCGCAGACUGAAAAAUAGACAAGAAUCUAAAUCAAAAUAAUGAGGAGGGCAUCGUAUGAAUUAGAUGCUUCAAGUCAAAUUCGGAUUAAUGUUUACUGCAACUCGGAAAUUUUAUAGGUUACUGAACAAGGGAUUCAACAAGGCUUCAAGAUUAAACAGUGGCAUACAAAGGAGUGAAGGAUUAUAUACAAGUACCAGCAAAAGUGUCCAUUUUCUGUCGUGCUUUCUAUAUUGCCUGCAAUUAUACACAGAUUUGCUCCCAACUAAGAACCGCAUACUAAUGAAGUUUAUCAUAAGAAACCCCCCACCCGUUCUUCCAGUUUCCGUACUGGAUUUUUCCAUUUCGGAAACUCAAACAUGUAGUUCUUUCUCUACUAACUUUGCAGUUUGUGAAAAGGUGGUCUUUAUUUGGAACGGAGUGAGCUCUAUUUUAUUUAUUUAAUUUUUGAAUUUUGAUGUAGCAAAAUUGGAUUAUGAAUUACUCGACAGAAUCCUAUGGAAAUAAAUUAGAAAUAAAACUUCUUUUGAUCAUCAUGCAAGAUUUUCUUCUUUUAAGGAUAUGUCCAAUAUCAAUCAACCUGAAAAUCCUAAUCUUGAACAAUAUUCAUCAUCCAAGCUUCUCGAGUGUUUGAAGAAAUAGCUAGAAAUCAAUGACGACUCUCUUCACAAAGAUUUAAAUAUCGGCAGCCCCUUAAUUUGGCCAGAACUACAUUACCAGAAUAAUUUGUUGGAAAAAUCGAAAUCUCAAGACUUUUCAUACAAUGGAAAUACCAGAAACAAAAGCCACCCACACGGAAGAAUCAAGAAUUCAAGACCCAAUAGCAAAUGAUCAUAUUAUCAGUUCUCCAAAAGCCAAAAACAUGAAAAUCAGAUUGGCAUAUAUAUAAUUUAUAUAGACACAUAGACUAAUAUAUAUAAACACCUGUUAUGGGGAAGGGAACCGCUAUGCCCUGGAUGAAGGAAUUCAAGACUCAAUAAAAUAUAAGCUUAUAAUCACUCCUCCAAAAAUCACGAAAACGGAUAGGCAUGUAUAGAGACAACUGCCUAUGCAUAAAGACCCAAUAACAAAUCAGCAUACAAUAAUUCCUCCAAAAAUCAAAAAUCAUGAAAAUCAGACAGGAAUUUUUAUACAUACACAAGUCUGAAGUGCCUAUACAUAAAGACCUAAUAACAAAUCAGCAUAUCAGCGUAUAAUCACUCCUCCAAAAACCCAAAAUCAUGAAAAUCAGAUGGGAAUAUUUACAUACACGAGUCACUCUAUAUAAGAAUCUGCCAUGAGGAACCCAAUGCAGUAAAUGAAUCAACAAUCAAGACCCUAAAAAAAUCAGCAUAUAACCACUCUCCCAAAGCCCAAAAUCAUCAAAAUCAGAUAUAAAUGCACAAGUGAGUAUAUAAGCACCUGGGCAGUGCUGUGGGCAAGUGGAGGUGUCUUGAGGAAUCCCCACACCAUGUGAAUGAACCUCUUUCCUGCAUCUUUUCAAGAUUUUUUUGAGCUUUUUGAAACCAACCUCAGGCAGUUUCUCGUGCCUCUGCCCUUGCAUGUACUCUUCAUAUUUCUUGCAAAACUUCAUUUUUCUAUAUUCCUUCCCCUCAUAACACACAACUCUCUCAAAAACCUCCUUUUUUUCACCGAUAAUGAAAACCCUUGAGAUUCGGUGUGUGAAUACGAUUUGUAUUUCUUUAUAUAUCUCCCAGAACGGCAAUCUCUCUCCUCUCACCGGUCAAAUACGGCUUAAAUGGCACCUGAUGCUGAUGACACGUCUAAAGCGUAAGCCAGAAAAAGUCAUUUUAUGUUGCUUUCUAGAGAAGUUCACGGCAAAUGGUUUGUAGUUGAGCGUUUAGUAUAUGUUUGGUUUGCAUUAAAAUUUGAUUUUGAUUUUUAAGUCAAAAUCAAACAAUUCAUAUUAAUAUUAUUUAUGGAUCUCAUAAUUUUUUAAUCACAUGUUUCAAAAACUUUUACCUCAAUUUACUAAAAAAUCUAAUUUUAAUCCCACAAAAUAUCUUAUUAGUAAUAAAUUGGAAUUUUCUCAUAAUACAAAGCUUUUGUGGAUGCGUUUAGACUAACCUUAUUUGUCAUCAUCGAUUCAAUUUAGCUACUUUAUCAGAAUUUUUUUGAUAUAAUGGUUGACAUCUUCUCAAAAAUACGUGGGCCACGCAUGAAUAAAAAAGUUCAAUAAAGAAGUGGGCCAUGCGCAAGUGAGUAUCUGUCAUCCAUUAUGUCAAUAAAUUCUGCCACCAUAGCAUUGUUGUUAGUGAUUACAAUAGUGUAAUGAUGAUUCUCAUUGAUAAUAAAUACCAUAUGUUCGUGCCUAACAAUGGAAAAUUGCCCAUUGGAGUUUAAUGGGUACUAAUUAUAAAAUGUUCUUUAAAAAAUCGAUUUUGAGUAGUAUUAGUAACAAUUUUUGAAAUUGUCCAAACUUUAUUUGAGAGUUAAUUAUCCACCGAUUUUAAAGCAAAUUUAAAAUUAAAAUUACAUAUAUGUCCCUUGAUGACAAUUAUAAUUUUUAGUUUUUUGUAUGAAAUUUUUUACUCACAAGUGAUAUUUUACUUAUAAGUACUUUUUUUACAUAUAAAAUUAAUAUUAUAACUUUAAAAAUUAAAUAAAGUCAAAUAUUUACUUAAAAUUUUAGGUUAGUAUUUUUUUCCACGUAAAAGUAAAUUUUAUACAUUUAAGUAAUUUUAAUUGAAUCUUUUUUUUACUUUUAAGUAACUUUUUAUAUUUUAUAAGUGAAUUUUUUAUCAUAUUAGUAGUAUUUUUACUUUACCAACAUUUCUUUAUUUAUAAGUAAUUUUUUAAUUAUAAUAAAUUUUUUUAACUUAAGAAAAUAUGAGAAAAUGUCAAAACCCGUCAAUUUGGUGGCUUGAGAGAAUCGGUUAAAGGCCAUAUUGAUACUAAUUUAAAUCAUAUUUUAAUCAAAGUCAAAGUCAAACAAUUAAUUUUAACCAUAUAUUUCAUGGGUUCCAUAAUUUUUCAACCACACAUUUCAAAACUUUUAUCAAAAUCUACUAAAAAUCUAAUUUUAAUUUUCAUCAAAUAAGGGCAAAAUUAAUUACAUUGGUUUUGAAAGAUUUUAGACCAUCUGAAGCUGAGCCCAAAAAAAUUAGUAAACAUCUAUAUUUUUUUAUUGCAUUUUAUAUUAAUUUUGUCCGAAACAAAGUUAAUAUUUUCCAAUUUUCAUCGUCAAGUUGUAAAAUGAAACAAAGAAGGUCGCAUCUUUUAAUAUAAAUUUCAAUGUUGUUGUUGCCAACUAUUUUUUAUUGCAUUUUAUAUUAAUUUUGUCCGAAACAAAGUUAAUAUUUUCCAAUUUUCAUCGUCAAGUUGUAAAAUGAAACAAAGAAGGUCGCAUCUUUUAAUAUAAAUUUUAAUGUUGUUGUUCGAAAAAAAUGAAUAAAUUAGAAACUGUUCUCUUCAACCAUCAUGGAAUAUUCAAUAAUCAACAUUAGGGAUAUAUUUUGAAUUUGAGAGGAAAAUACGACUUUCUUUACCUAUUGGAUUUUACUUUAUAUUUAUGUGGGUUGACUUUGUAUUUUGAAUUGAAAAAUGCUUUUUAUUUUUUUGUUUGGGGAAAAUAUAUGGUUAUGAAGUAAGAAAAAUUCAUGAAUUUCUUAUAAUGGGUGAUUGAAAAUGAUUUUGAAGAAAAAUAAUUUUAAACAAACAAACACUUAUAUUGUAUUCAUCUUUAUAAUUUUCGCUCAUGAACCUUUACCAAGCUAUUGACCUUUUGAUGGAACAAAUUUUAAUUAGAACAGAAUGAAAUAACAAAAUAUAUUUCAUAUUAUCAGCUUUAAAUUUAUAGAAAUCAAGUCUGAUUUUGUUGGAUUAGUUUUUUCUAAAUCUUUUUUUAAGGAAAAAAAAAGGAAUAAUGUGGUAAAAGAAUCGUUGGCUGAUCAUGCCUAGUUUGUUUCUAAUUCUUUGGCCCAAAAAAUGAAAAAUAUGAUCGUUAUCUAUCACAUCAAGUCACUAUAUUUGACUUUCUCUCUCUUAUGUGGGUUCCGUAAUGGCUAUAUUUUUCAUUCUCAUUCUUAUAAGAAUGAGAAUCAACCGAGGCAGUGUAUAUUUUAAUAUAAUUAUGUAUUAUUAAUUUAUUAUUUCACCAUAAGUGCUGCUGCAAUAAGUAAUCAGAGUCUAUCAACUUAUGUUAGGCUUUUCCACACGUUUCUCUAAAGAAUAUGCUUGCUUUUGGAAGUGCUUGAAUUAAAAUUUCUUAUCUCGUCUAGUGAAUUAAUUUUAUUAGUAUGAAAGAGUCGUCUUUGUAUCGACAACCAAUAAAAGGGUUAAAGUUUUAUCCUACUUCGACUUUAUUUUUAUAUUAAAAAGUAGUGGGAACUUUAAAGUGUUUCAGUUAUAUUUCCAACAAUUUGAUCGAAUUGAGUAUUUAAGAUAUUGAUAUCAUAAAUAUAUUCACAUAAAGGAUAUAACAUAUUUUAAUCAAGAAUCACGUGAAAUAUAUAUAAAUUAGAAAAAAGAAAAUUAUUUGUUAAAAAGUUAUCGGUGAUGAAAACGCGCAAAAGAAUGAAAAGGUUGGGACCGCUUGCUGCUCAGCCAUCUUUCAACUAGCUUCUCAUGAACUGAACAUAAACUAUCGACAAAUCGCGCAUGCCAAUUGGCACCCUAAUUCUUGACCAAUGAUAUAAUGUUAAAAUUGCGCAUUUUCUAUCAUUACAUCUUACUACAUGAGUUGAUAUCCAUAAUUGCACAAAUUUAAAGAGAAUUAUUACGGGACUGUAUUUUACGAUCUCUCCAUCUAUUUUACAUCUUGUCAGAUGUCUAUCCAGUUGAUCAAUUGCAUGAAUACUCAACAUAGUUUUUUUCCCCCAACGUUAUAUUCUUGAAAGAAACUAUUGCUUUCAACCAUCGAUAGUAGUAUUAUUAAAAUCAAAGCCACCACGAGCACUUAUUGAACAAAAAUAAUGACCCAAAAAAUGAGUACUAAAAUGGACGAUGGAGAGGCUUGUUGGGUUGUUGAAAAGGCUCAUCAAAGUGUGUGUCUCUGUGUAAAAUUUUAUAGACUUCAUGAUGGCAAUUUCAGUGUAGGAAGAAAAUUAUCCAACAAGAAGGUUAGUGGAACCAUUUGUGGUGUAAUACUCAACUGAUAAUUAUUCAAACCUUAUAAAGAAAGAUCAAUAUUCAAUUUCCAUUUGAUAAUAGAUAACACAUCACUUUAAAAUUUUGACUUCGAAACAGGGUUUCCACUUAAAAUAAAUAAUAUAUAUUUGAUACAUCGAGUUAAAUAUGAAUACAUAAUUUUUUAUUAUCUUUAAUUGGCUAGCAAUAUCUAAUUUGCAUUACUAGAUAAGCCAAUAGACUAUAAGCUACGCGAAUCUUAUUUUUUCAGAUAAUACUUGAACGUGUUGACAAUUCUUUCAAAAGCACUUGUCACAAUAGUCCAUUUGAAAUAUAUCACUUGGUUUUUUAUGACAUGAAUAUCAAUUUUAUGUUCGAGAUAAGCCUCUGCUACCCUUUCCCUUUCUUGCUUGGGUAGCUCAUUGAGAGGUCUCAACGAGCUACUCGGGAGUCGGGACCCCAAGAACUCUCGACUCGGAGAUGGUUAGAGGGGAUGGAAGAAAGAUGGAACAUAGGAAUGUAAAAAAGGUUCGAUAUUUUUCUAAGAUUCUUCCACUUUCUACUAGUCAAGAAACUAUGAGGAGUCUCAUAAAAAACAACACUGCGUGUAGCAGAGACCAGAAUAUGAAGUUUGAUAAUACGUUCACCUUUCAGAUAAGUGUUAAGUAGUACAUAAGAUGAAUUAAAACAUAACAAUGCUCAACUUCUGCUUCAAAGGGGAAUAUGAACUAAAAUUUACUGAGAGUAUUGGUAUCUCAUAGGAACAGAUGUGCCUUUUCCAACAUCAAUAAUUGAAUUUGACAUGGUUUUCCCCUUCAAAAAACUGGCAUACCAGCGCGCUGAAAGCUUUUGAUAUCUUUUCAGGUCUUUGUCAUCCAAAUCUACGUAGUAAAAGCCGAAGGAAAGCGUAUAGCCAACCGUUAACUCGAGACAGUCUAAGAAGGUCCAUGCAAAGUACCCUUUUACGUUUGAUCCAUUCCUUCAAGUAUUCCAGAAUGAAAAUUGAGAAUAAGAGAAACCACAAUCAGAGGCACAAAAAUCUUACCAGAAUCAACUUGAUAUUUACUCUUUUAAAUCAAUUAUAAAAAAAUAUCCGGAUAGUUGUAUAUGUGAGUUCAAAGAACUUGAAGCAGAGCAGCACUUAGCAAGUUACAAGAACAAAGUGCCGGCACUCGGUAAAGAUACCGGCAGUGGGGGGAAGAUAUUGAAGUUUACAAACACGGAUACAGAGAUUAUAAAGAUGGAAGUUUGUAAAGGUCAGGGAACAAUUAGUUUUGCUUAGACAGUUGGCGCCCCUUGUAUUAAUCACCUUAUUUAAAAGCUUAAACCGUUGAAAGAAAACACAUUUAUUCAUUCAAAGUUUUCAAAUUCAACCUUAAAUGGAAAAAAACUAGAAGAAUAAAAGAUCUCGUGAAAUUCUUCUUGUCCUGUAUUUCACGAAUCUAACAUGGAAUCGAAAAGGCUCACCUCAGAGCAUCAAGCAAGCUCCCAAUGUAAGCAUGAUAAUAUUCAACCCUUGGUGUGUCAUUUAGUGUUCCAUUGCGACGCAUCAUCUGACCUGCAAAAGCAAUUCAAACCAGGAUUUUCCUUACUAAAUUGUCUAAUCUGGUUAAAAUCAAAAAGCUUUUUUAAAAAAAAAAAAGUAGAACUCCAGCACAUCAAUUUUGUUCAAUCAGAAAAUAGUAUGGAAUGGAAGCCUACUAAAUAAGGAACAACGCAAUCUACUUCAAUCGUUGCUGAUUUCUCCACACAUAAAUAUCGUUUAAAGGUUGCUAAUUAACAUACUCCCUGCUCCCUAGUGUGGGAGGUAAUUAACAUUACCCAUUGAGAGAAACCACAGGGGAGUGAAAAUGCACUAUCCGUUACUAAAACAUUAAGAUAAAAGUAAAAGAGCUUAGGUUGACGAGUGAUAAGUGUGUUUUUGCACACUUAUUUACAUCACAAACAUGACUUAAAUACAAGUAAAAUGAUUGAAUUGUUACUUAACUUCGUCAAAUUCAUGUAAUGUAGGAAAUUCUAUGGAAAUAGUGGAAUUCAGGAGAAAAGAGCCGAAAAAGGACCAAAUUGGAGCAAAAUGAAAAUUCAGGGACCAAAUUGCAAUUAUCUGAAAGUUGACCCGAUGAACACAUCAAGCAAUUGAUCAAGCCAAGCACCAGCACACACUGUGUUGACAUGUGUUUAUGUGUUAGUGCGCGCACGUAUAUGUGUGUGUGUAUAUAUAUAUAUAUAUAGAGAGAGAGAGAGAGAACCAUUUUCAUGGAUAUAAACAGGCUGAUUUCCAUAAACUUGUUUUAGAUACUCCAGCACUCCAUAGAGACCCGAAGGCAGCACGGGAUACUUAGCAACACAAAAAAAUUAAAUUUUUAGAGUCAAUUAUUGAUAUAAAGAACAAAUAGACAUCGUAAAGUUAUUUAGAAUCACCUGAUCUUGUGACGCGUCACCCUGUUGGUCUACAGCAGCCCGAAAACAAGACAGGUUUAGUAAAUAUAGAAUAACAAUAGCACUAGUCUUUAUCACUCUCAACAAUCCCACGCAAGCAGCAACAUUUUCUUAAGGAAAGAAUACUAGUGGAAGCUAAAAUUAAACAGGUAGAACAAUAAGCUUUAACAACACGUGAAAAAAAUGAUGUGGCAAUUAAACCAGUUAAUAAAUUCAAAUUGAUUCCACAACUGGUAAUUCUGCAUUAACAAGUUUGUAUUCAAUAAAGCAUGGAAGUCAUACUUAUUAUCUGUGCAGCCAAGUCAGCAGAAAAUCCACUGCCGUCCGUUUCAAGGAUGCUGGGAUCAUCCUUGACGAACGCUUUUGUGUAGUGGUUCACUCCUAUGAAGUCAACUGAACCCUUAAUCUGCUCGGAUUCAAGUUUGGUGAAGGUUGGAAUUCUUGUUUGGGCAUGUUUCUUCACUGUUUCAGGAUAAUCUCCCAAAAUAAGGGGAUCAAUAAACCUGCAGUACACAUUGAACAUUAAACUCGGCAUGUCCAUGAGUGAAAACUUUCUCGACUCCCAAAUCAGCUUAUUGUUAGACUUUUCUAGCUAAUUAUUGGACCAUCCGACAUACGGGAGGAAUUGGAUAGUAAAUUUAGUAACUAUUCAGAGUUUCAACUUACCACCCAAUAAAAAAUUCUUUAGCUCUUUGAGAAACAACGAGCAUUUCUAGACAGUGGUAAUAAUCAAUAAACAGUCCAAGAUCCACUUUCUCAAGAUACACCGUCUCUAGUUAGUUACCUGACAUCGGUUUGUUCAAUACAUAGUAUAGAUGUUAAAUCCCACGUAACCUUUUUGGAUGGCCUGUAUUUGAACACAUUAUUUCCAAAAUACACAUAAGCAUAAAUGCUGAGACACUCUUGAACACAUAUGCCUCUUUUGUUACAUUUCUCAUAUUGAUUACCAAGUUUUUGAAAACAAAAUAUAUGCUGAGAAUUUAGAAACAAAUCCAUGCAAAUGCGAGGAAUUGACUAAUCAAAGUUAGUGGACAAACUAAUCAAUAACAAAUAAAGAUUUAUUAAACAGAACUAUCGAAAGCAUGAAUGAUACCUUGUAUUUGGCCCUAUACAGUCUCACAACAGCUGAAUGUGCCAGCAAGAUAUUAUGCCCCACAAUGUAUGUUUCAUUUGAGGAAUUACCCCAAGAGCACCUUGUUCUGUCUGAACAGCGCCCCGGGGCAAUGAUACCUUGCUCAUAUCCAGCCACGGCUAAAAUAUUGGCCUCGUUAACAGUAGUCCAGUACAAAACCCUGUUACCAAAUUCCCUGAAGCACACAUCUGCAUAUGCUGUGAAGUCCUUCCUGAGUCACAAACAACCCAAGUUUCAUUUAUAUCUAUAUGACAAGAAUGUAAAAGUAGCAAAAGAUGAACACAUAUUACAACUAUGUUGUUAAAAAACAUACACAAUCUUCCUACUAAGCCAUCCUCCAUACUCGUCUUCGAGUGCUUGUGGUAGAUCAAAAUGAGUUAAUGUAAUAUGUGGUUGAAUUCCUGUAUGAUCACAAAUAUUUUAACUUGGAUGCAGUGAGAGACAAAUCUCUGAAGGACAAUAGGACAGAAUGCAUUUCCUAUAAGGAAGAACAUAACAUUUGUAAGAAAUUUCAUAAUCACCAUGGCUUCUGAGUUUGUCGAUAAGAUUGUUGUAGUAAUGUAACCCCUUUUGGUUGAUAGGUCCUCUUCCAUCUGAAAAGACAGUAGACCAUGUGAGUAAAAGAAAAAGAUGCUUUUUUCUUUGAACACGGCAUGAUGCAGGUGAACAUACUAGGAAUAAGUCUUGACCAUGAUAUGGAGAUUCUUAAGGCCUCCAAAUUUGUCUCAACCAUCAGUUGGAUAUCAUCCUGCAUGAUGAGGUAUAAUUCCCAUGGUGGAUGUUCAAUAACUAUGUGAACAAUGAUCAAAAGACAACCAUGAUACGAUCCAGAUAUUUCCCAGUCUUCGAUCGGGAAAGAAGAAAAAUAUGUUCCAUGCACUCAAAAGGUUUUUCUUAUAUGAAUGGAAGAGAGUUCAACUCUAAACACCUUCACUAAAUACACUAAAUAAUAGAGAAGUACCCCGUGCAUCCCACCUCGGAAAACAUAAAAGUUUAAUGCAAAGACCAAAGAAAUUCCCGAAUCUGCUAGUAAUGGAGCAAAAGAUGGUGUAGCUAAACAUGCCUAUAGGACUCUUGGCUAAAUUACUAAUGGUAAUCAAAUCUUCAGGUUCAUGGAAUAAUGUCCAUACAAGUGUGCAAUUGUUGCUUGAAGGGAAAGAAAACAACGAAAGGGAAAGAAAUAUAUGUUAAAUUAGAGUUUCAGCCGUGUGUAGACCUUGUAUUUGUGAUAUCCAUCACAUGCUAUGUCUCCAUUGGCUCCAUUUGUAUUUUGACCUGAAAAUUUUAAAUGGGAGGAUAUAUUCAAUACAGUGACAUUCAGAUCAAUGAUUUACAUCAUAGAAUCUACUCCACUAUUAGCAGCUCUACGCACUAGAAUCUGAGAACAGACCAUUUCAUUCAUUAAUUAUGAAAAAGAAGCCUUCUAUACUUCUAUAAAAAAAUAAAAAAUAAAAUGAAAGAAAACCCCGUGCCUUUUGCCAUUACAAGGAGUUUUUCCUCUUGUUUGUGUAGAGUGGCAUUUUCAUAAUAACGAAUUGAAGAGCUAUUAUCACCUGAUGUCAGGAAUAGGUAACUAAAAUUUAUUUCUUUUGUUUGCAAUGAUAGAAAAAUUUUGUGGAAAAGAAAAACCACUCCAUAGCCACUAAUAAGUUAUUAGAAUGCAGAUUAAGGCAGUAACAUUUAUGAAACACUUUUGGCCCAAAAACAUCAUGACAUAUGUGCCUUAAAAUUUAUAAUUAUCAGAUCAUUUUGAUCAACACUGAAUCCUCUUCAAUGAUGCAACAUAUUCUUCCAUUAGAAUAUUUGCUAAACACUUGAACCAUUUUUAGUUAUCGAACUGGUGCAGCAGCUUUUCUGCCAGAUUUUUAUUUUCUUCAACGAUAUCCUGUCUCUGCACAACGUGUUUGAUGAGCUUUAUGGGCAGAUGAUACACUCUUUUUUUUAUAUGAACCAGCUCCAUAUUAACUGUUACGUCUUAUUUCUUAUUGGUUCAUUCUUAGUAGGGAAAUUUAGCUGGAACAGGAGUCAAACUUUACCAAAAUUACAUUGUGAACAAGAAGAGGAGCAAAAUGAGUUCGAAAAAGGCAUUUGCAAAAUAGAAUUAUGCACAUGAAGUCAAUGUCAGUCAACUUGUUUAUGUACUGUAGAAAAUAAAGGCCUAGAAGUAUAAAGAGAAGAACUAGAGACGAGUACAGACCAGAAUGUGCAAAUGUGUCCCAAAUGCUAGGAGUCCUCCCAUCCUCAGACGCUGCGCCUUCAUACUUUUGAUAGAAUGACAAAGAAAUAUUCAUCAAUUUUAUUCAGGCAAAGUUUCAGAUGGGAAGUAGAAUACUGAUCCAGUGAAAACAGAUUGUUAUAGAUAAUCAUUAAAUACGAACGCAAAAGUAUAAUUUUCAAUGUUCCUACUAAUUAAGCUAAUAUUUUUAGUUCCCUGGUAAUUUGAGGUUACUAUGCUGGAGACACAAUGAAAUAAGGCCCUCUUUUUCAAAAUUGCAUAAACAAAUAAUUUCUUUUUAUUGUUAGAAUCCGAAUAUACUUGUUUCUUCUUUUACACUGCCUACUUCUUCGUCACCAUCACCAGUUUUCUUAUCCACAUCCCUGCUACCCAUGCCACCAUCCCCCAUUCCCCCCUACUCCUGCCUACCAGCUCACUCUUCCAAUUUGCAUUUCCGGUAUUAAGACUAGGCGUACCAUCUUCUAACAUAAGUAGCCUAAGUCUUUAAAUAUUGGCUAUAGUCAGUGUUUUAAAAAGCAUAAUACAUGUCUAGUCGUGGAAGCGAAGCUUCAAGCUUUACGAGCUCAAGCGAGCUUAGAAGAGGCCUAGGUGUAAAAAAUUGUUUUCUUAUUUUAAAUAUUAUUUUUAUUUUUUAAAGUAAUUUAAUAAUUAAAAUAAUACAUAUCAAAGAUCUAGAAUUAUGAAAUAUACUAUAUUUACUUAAUAAUUCCUAUGUUAGUCAAUUAUUCAAUUUUACUGAGUCUAAAAUUACUUCUUUUUUUCUUUUUCCUUUUGAGUGCAAGAAAAAGCUUCAUAAGUACGCCAAAGACUCAGAAAAAUUUGCAUGUAAUAUAGGUUUAAUCAGUUUCCCCAACCAAUUAUUCCAACAAUCAUAAUCAUUUCACAGAAUAUUAAGAAUAAACAAACUGGAAAAAAUAUAAAUAAAUAAAGAGCUACUAACUUGAUAAGCAGAAGUUCCAGAACCAAAAACAAAGUCAGCCGGAAAAUCCGUUCUGCUGUAAUGAUCAACGCCGUGAACCGGCACCGGUAAAUGCAACGCCAGAAAUAGCAAACCAAUAUACAAGCUAAUUUCACUCAUAUUCUUCCAAUCGCUUGGAUCAAUUUCUUCCAUUUUUAGACAUAAAUACUCCACAGCAACCUACCAAUCAAAGUUCUUUACAUAACUUUCAUUGGGUUCAACCUUUUUAAUAACUCAGUUAUUUGUCAUAUCAAAUAGGGUUUUCACCAAACAUGCACCGCCACGUAACGAAUAAUAUCCCAAUCUCGAAAGUUUGUUCUUUCUGAAAAAUUGUGUUCAUCGUCCCUAUUUUAUUGUUCAAGUAAUAAAUUUGUCCCCUGUCAUGAGAUUUCCCACAACGACAGCUUAACUUGCAUAUAUACUCUAGUCACUAUAGCCAAGCACAAAAAACAGACCAUAGUUGCCAAGCAUUAUUUUUUACCUAAAAUAAUAUAUUUUCUUUGUCUUGAUUUUGUUGUCUUUUGGAAAAUGUUAUCGUCGGCAGUUUAUUCCGCUAAAUUUUUAUCUCGAAUGCUAUUUCAAGUCAUAAAAAAUGUCAUACUCAACUUGGAAUAACAUAUGCAAUACUUAAAUUAAUAAAUAACUUAUAUUUGUUAUAUAAUGACUUGAUCAAGUAUAUAUAGAUUUUUUUUACCCUUUUUUUAUGUAUUAGGUAUAAGGUCCAAUUUAAAGAACAUAUCUAAACAAAAGAAUGAACGAAAACAAACAUCAAAAGUUGGAAUAAGUGAACAGAUGCUGAGAUCCAUGCCUAGAAUAUAUUAUAUUAUAGAAAGCCAAUUGAAUAUGCAAGUUAUAGCUCACAGUUUGGAUUUUUAUAUCAACAGAUAUAUAUAUUUUACUCCGAUGGUUGGAAAAGUGCCACAAAUUAAUGUGGGUAUUUGUGAUCACGAGAAGGCCAAGGAAUAAACCAUACUCAAUACAAUUUGCAAGCUAAAACUUUGCGGCUGUGAGAUGAGGUUUCUGAGUUGAGUCUGAGCCCGAGUCUGAUUGAUGAAUUGAGGGUAUUUGGGGUUAGUAUUGAUUGAAAAAGAGAAAUACUUCUACUUAUAAAUACCCUCGAAUGGAAGUCAUUAAAGGAGGACAAUCUUGCUCUUGAACAUUCAUUCGAAGGGUAAAUUGCAAAUGGGAUUUGAAACCUUUCACAAAAGUGCUGCAAGUCCCAAAACGUUUUAUAUUUGACAUCACAAGUCCAAACAUUUGCAAAAAUAGGCAACGCAAGGAGUUUUGAAUAGAUUUUGCUCAAAGGUCCCUUAGUUGGCCAAAAAUUAAAGAUAAACCUUCAUUUAACUAUUAUUUAGAAGAAAUGGUCCCUAUAUAUUUUUCCAAUUAAAAUUUUUUAAAUGAUUAAGAAAUGAAAAAAUGUAUAUAUCUACAUCUACACUAUCUUAAAAGAGAGAAUGAGACAUUUACUGUUCAUUCUGGUGGAGCCGUUUUCACACUACUGUAGUUGAAUUGUUAGCACUCACUGUAAUCAAUUUGGUUCUAUACUGUUUGCUUAUAAAGUUUUUUAAGGAUAAAUCUACAUGUACAUAAUUUUUUGUACAUAAAGGUGUCCUCCACUCAUAUGAGGUGGGGUCUACCAUAAUAAAAUAUUCGAGUGAACUCCAUCCAUAUGAGUGAAGAACAUCUUUAUGUACAAAAAAUUAUAUACAUUAAGCAAUGUCCUUUUACUAUUUCCCACUUUUCAACCCAAAAUAUCUUUUAUUGGGUCUGCUUUUUGCGAAGAAAAGUCCAAUAAGAGGCAUUAUUGUAUGUACUUGCUUCAACCCUGAUUUUUGUCGGAUGGAGGCUUGGCCCUAGACAAGGAGGGAAUAAUGAAAGAUUCAUCUAACUAUAAUUUUUUAUUUUAUUAUUAUUAUUAUUAUUAUUAUUAUUAUUAUUUUUUUUUUUUAUCAAUUCUAACUCAACUCGAGAUUAUUCAAAAUAACUUUUUUUUUCGAGUUUAAUGUACAUGAUUAAUUAUUAGCUAUCAAAUGAGUCCAAUACUAUUGUGAUAAUAUGGUAUAAUUUGAAAACUAAUAUUAUAAAAUAAGUAUUUUACUUUAAUAAAUUGUAACUACAAUAAUUUAUCCAAAUUUACUUUUUCUGGGGUUUAAAAUGGGUAAUUUAUUACAAGUUUCGAAAUGAGUCCAAUAUUAGUAAGAUAAUUCUUGAUCCUCCAAUAAAUACUCAUUUGAUUCAAGUUUUGUUUAAAAUAUAAAUAUAUUAUUUAAAUAUUUAAUUAUUUUUACGUUUGAAAAAAUUUACAAUUAAGGGCCUUAUUAUAAUAAUGAGUCAUCUAGGCCUAAAAAUUCUCAGAGCCAGCCCUGGCCUGAUGGCUUUGUCAUGAAACACCAUGUUAAAAAAUGUAUUGCUCUGAUACUAUGCUAAGAAAUAUAUGAAUGAUAUUAUACAAUGUAAGGCUGUAUGGAUAUUACAAUAUAAGCUCUUGAAUAUUACAAUGUAGAAGACCAUAUUUAUAUUUUAUAGGGUUACAAAUAACAAUAAAAGGAAAUAAACCUAUAAGGAAAGAUUGCACAAUUAACUACUAAGGUAAAUAAUUCUACACUAAAAGGAAAAAUAUAAUAGAUAAUAUUAUAUACAAUAUUGCUAUAUUUAACACCCUCUCCUCAAACUCAAUAUGGUGUAAAAUAUUGAGUUUGAAGAAAUCGAUCCAAUCAAAUUUUCCAUGUUGAUGAAGAAUGAACUCCAAGUACUUGAGGUCUCAGUCAUUAUUGAAGGAGAUAAGCGUUUUCUUGUUUGCUGGAAAUUGAUGGGACUUUUUUUUUUUUUUUUUGUGUUUGAAAUGAAAAAUAAAUAAGAAAGUGUUUUUCAAAAUAAGAAAACUCCUUUCUUUCUUUUUUUUUUUUCUUUUUUAAGGAGCAAUGGAAGAGCCGGUAAAAUUCAAGGUACCGACCCUAAAAAAAUUUUAACACAAGAAAAUCCCUAAUUUGUUUAAGGGCACGGGAGAGCCAGUAAAACUCAAGGUACCGACCCUCCAAAAUUUUUUAUUUUUAUUUUUAUUUUUAUUUUUUUUACAUAAAAAACCUCUAAUUCGUUUAAGAGGCAGGGAGAGUGUUGAAAAAAAUUCAAGGUACCGACUCUCCAAUUUUUAUUUUUUUUGUUUUGUUUUCAAGAUAAGAAAACCCCUAAUUUGUUUAAGGGGCACGGGAAAAGUCAAUAAAAUUCAGGGUACUGACCCUUUAAAAUUUAUUUUUUUAACAUAAAAAAAUCUCUAAUUUGUUUAAGAGGUAGGGGGAGAGCUAGCAAAGUUCAAGAAAUCGACCCUUCAAAGUUCUUUUUUUUGUUUCAACAUAAAAAAAAAAACCUCUAAUUUGUUUAAGAAGCAAGAGGAGAGUUGAUAAAAAUCAAGGUAAUGACCCUCCAAAGUUUUUUUUUUUUUCUUUCAACAUAAGAAACCCCGGAUUCUAAAGGGGGAAAAAAACAAUAUUUUUUUUAAAUUUCCAAGAAAAGGAAAAAAAACAAUUUUUUAAAACAAUUCUAUAAGAUUAAAAUACUAAAAGAGAGUGGACUCAUAUAGCAUGUGCUAAAUUUUUUUUCAAGAAAUUAGAAUACCAAUAUUUGGGUAUGUUACUACGUUUCAAUCCGUAUAAUUUAUCCAACACCCCACCAGACUGCAUAAACUUGAAGUUGCUCUUUGACAUGGUUUUGGUUCGGGGGCCGUGCUACAGCAAUCGACCCCUUGACAUUACGGCUGUGCUACAACAAUCGACACACAGAAUUCUUUGGGGGCCCUGCAAAAAAUUCUUUGGUUCGUCCUUGAAGAGAGAGUUUGUGUUUUGCAAGUCACCUGAUAUGCUUGUGCUAGUGCUACUGAUUGCUUCAGAAAAGUAAAAGAUUGAGUCAGCAGCUGUCAUGAUUGAAGACUUUUCUUCACCAAUUCCAAAAUAAAAUAUCUUCUCACUAAAAAGCAACAUAAAAUGACAGUCCCCGAGGCAUAACCCAGUGGUACAAAGGAUAGGAGUGAGGUAAUCUCAGCUUUACUGGCAGUCGUAGUAUGAGGGUUUGAUUCCUGAUAUAUGGAAUUGGACUCUUUGUGGGCAUUAAUGUACCGGCAAGAUUUUGUUCCCCGACCUGUUGUGGUACAUCCCGUGAUUUACCUCCCUCACGAUAUUCUAAGGGCGGGGUGGUGGGGCCCUCAAGGUUGGGGUUCAACCUUCUCAGAAUAAUUUUCUUUCUACUUCAACCUGCUCUUCAGCCGGCCACCUUUCUGUGUGUGUAUAUGUUAUGUUUAGGUUUGGAAUAAAAAAAUCAAGGAACCAAAGAAUAAAAGAUUGGCUGGGAAACGUAAUUCAACGAUUGGUUUAUUCAGGUUCGAACCUGCUCUGACACCAUGUUAAGAAAAAUAUUGCUUUGAUAACAUGUUAAGAAAUAUAUAAAUGAUAUUAUACAAUGUAAGCUUGUAUGGAUAUUACAACAUAAGCUCUUGAAUAUUACAAUAUAGAAGAUCUUUUUUUUAGGGUUACAAAUAACAAUAAAAGGAAAUAAACAUAUAAGGAAAGACUACACAACCAACUACUAAGGAAAAAUAAUUCUACACUAAAAGGAAAAAUAUAAUGGAAAAUAUUCCAUACAAUAUUGCUAUAUUUAACACGUUCAGUAGGAAUCUACGAAUUUGUGGCGGGUCUUUGCCUUAAUCAUGUUCUCCUUCCCUUCCAUGUUUCCUGGCAUUCAAGGUUAACUGAUUGAGAUUACAACUUCGAACUUUGAAAAUUUCCUUUUAACUUCGUUGUUUUGUGUUCAGUUUUCCUGAAAAAAAAUGUGUAUUUUUUCAUCAUUAUUUCUAUUUAUACAUAUUUUAAAAUUUUGGACCGCAAUUGUCGAUUGUACCAAAUUCAAAGAGAUGGGAUGGAUUUCAAAGCAAGAUCCAUAUGUUUGUUUUGUUCGAAUAUGCUAGCACCCAAUACCGUCACGUACUUGCACAUGUAUGUUAUAGAUAUACUAGUCGUUGAACGUACAUUGCACGAAUGUUGUAUUUAUUGUGUUUUUAUUAGCGUAAAGAUUGUAGAUUUUUUAGAACUUGAUGAAAAUUCGAAGUAUUUGGCCAAGUCAAUCUUUUGGUUGAUUGCAUUAUUGUAGAUUCUGUGCUUCAUAUGCAUUAUAUUGGAGGAGUUAGAAAACACUUGAAGUGAAAGAUUUAUUAUCAUCAUUCCAAAAAAAAAUUCAACAGUAAACAAGAAAUCUAUACUUAACCUAGUUUGUUGCAUGUGGUGAAAAAUCACAGGCAUGUGUAAAUAUAUUCGGACUUGCUAUAAGCAAAGGCAGAAAGUUUAAUCGAUUAGUUUCAAACCUCAUAAAAGGGAGAUAAGGAACUCAAUCACUUUUUUCCUCUCUCAUUUUCACAGCAACAAAACAAUAUGAAAUGAAUCCCUCUAAAUGAACACCAAAUACUUGACAGGAAAAACAAUGUAAUGCAAUAAACUUAACUCAAUUCCAUACUAAAUUUGAGAAGCCCUCUAAAUGAACAAUUUAGCUGACCUACAAACAAUUUUGUGAAAUAGGCAAGGAACUUUGCUUAUCUACAUAAGAUAAACAGAAUAAAAUCUACAAGAACAAUACAUUUUCAUAUCUUGGUAGUAGCACAUCCUACAGAAAUCAAAAAGUUCUAUCAUAUCUUCUUAUACAAAGAUGAAAAUGCAGUAUAUGAAAUUAUAAACGGCCCAUAAAUUAACUGAAGUCCAGCUUAAAAAAAAAUGGAAGUCAUAUUUCUUUUACUAAAAAAAAAUAAAAAUCAAAGUAGCGGAUUGCACUCUUUUUUUGGCGGUCUUCCUAAAAAAUUAUUCUUCCCUUAAAACAUGUUCAAGACAACAAGAACAAAGUUAAAAUGCAAAUAAAUCAAAUAAUUAAAUUUGGAAUAGUAAAAAGCUAAAAUAGGCAAAAUUACAAAGUAAACCCCAAAAAAUUUGGUUCUUCCAAAAAGCCCCGAUUCUAUAACCAGACUUCGCCCAUAUCGCCUAAAGCUUAAAUUUUGACAAUUAAACAAUCAUUUCUUUAUAAUUACAAAUAUAUUUUCGAUUAGUAUUCUCUUUGUAUAUUUUUUAUUCUCACAUCAAUAUAUGAAUUGGAAGGAACAAGUAAUGUAAUCACAAUAAAGAUCAAACUUGUGCUAGCUCUUCAAUCUCCAUAGGCAUGGAUCAGUUGUGAAUGCUGCUGAUGCCGAUACCGAAGUAGCUAAAUGAAGCAAUAGCAUUAGAAGGAGUAGUAGGACUAGGGGAACGCGCCUUUUCGUUAAUUUAAUUAAAUAGAUCUUUCACCUGCGAGGAAAGAGAACAACGCAUAUUCCAACAAUACCAAGAACUCCUACUUGUACGAGAGUAGUAGCUACGGUAAUGCCUUCAACACCGGUUAUUCCCACAGCUGAUUCUAUUCCUUCUAUUCUUCAUUUCAAAAGAGUCCCCACUAAGAUGUAGUGUGUGCUGGCCCGCCCUUGCUUGGGCAUAAUUUUGUGCUGAAUAAGUCAAUGACUACUUCCUUUUGCCUUUUCAUUGCUUUGGCCUGGAGCCGGGCGUAAAUGAUUUAGAAAACCAGACAAAGCAUGGAGACGCAAGAUUGGCCUAUCCUUGACUUGACUGAAUAUUAGAAGAAAAGAUCUACCGGCUUUGAAAGACCCUUUUCAAACCAUAUAGAGGUGUGGGACACAGUCCCUUCAAUGAUCAAGACUAGAUUUGAUGAUAAGGCUCGUGAUAACCAACCUCUAAAAGACAUCGUACCAAUAGACUAGGCGAGAUCCCUUUUGCCAUUCGAAGAUAGAUUUCUUCUUAACGCGGUCAGAACCAACACCAAUGUUGAAGGAACUUGAAGCUCGGGUUCGUAGGAAAGCAGGAUCAUAAGCUUCUUACACCAGGCACUUUCCCGACUAGGUUACGGAGCGAUAGCAACUAUCUGAUCUGCUUGACUAAAGGGAAAUGGUAGAAGCGCGAUUCCCACUAAGGACUCAUGGUCAACAGUUUCGUGACUGAGGAAAGAAGGGUCUCAGCACGGAGUUUACAGGCUGUGGAUCUAGGAUGAGACUUCAGUCCAAAAAGUCUAUUCGGGUGACGGUACGACUGAAGAGACUAGUCAUCACAGGGCACAAGCCAAAAGAGGAGAAAAGGAAAGAAUCUUCCUCAGGCACCUGGAUCACCAACCAAGCUUCAAAGCUCACACCGAUAUGGCAGAAAUCAUUCAUGAAAGGAAGCCUCCAAAACUGUGAAUUGGAUUAGAGAGACAAAGGCGUUCUCCAUUCAGCGAUAGAGGAUAAGUCGACUAGCAUCGCCUUGAACUUCACUCCUCACUCAAGGCACACUAACCAUCGCAUGUCUGCCUUUGCACAAAGUUAAGCAAUUGGUUCUACUUCUUGACCGAGGACCAGGAGAUCUUGUGAAACCUAAUACAGUCUAUUUGCUGCCAUGUGACACUAUACUUUACUGGGCUGAAUCCAUCAACAUCUAUUACUGGGCUUCAAUGAUUGAAUAGAGGUGGCAGAUGAAGACUCUGCUCCCGUCCUUCAUUCAUCAGGUCUAAAAGUAGAUAGCUCUUCAAUCUCCACAGGCAUGGUAGCACUAAACAACAGAGUUUGAUUAUUUUUUCUGGAAGAUUUCGCAUCACCUGCAACAGAAUUGGAGAGCACCAAAAUAAUACAAAAAUGAAUAAAUUGGUACGAUGCCCUCUAUGCACUUUAAUUAAGCAAGCGAAAGCCGAUGAAAAAUAAAUACAUACUGAUAGAAAUGUUGAGGAAAACCCGUUUAUCUAACUUGUAAGAAAUAUCAACUUUAGAUCAUUUUAGUGGUGGAUUCUGAUAAUGAAACUGUGCGCCUGCGUCGAGUGGUUUUAAAUGGUCUAGCAUAGAAUGAGUUAAGAUCAAAAGAAGUAAAAGAAAAGAAAAUCACUGUGAGAGGGAGGCAGGGAAGGAUAUAAGUUGAAAUACAACAGAUGAGGAAAAUACUUGUGUGCAUAUGAUUAUUCCAUAGAACAAAUAUGUGGACAUGAAUUACCUCUCUUAUCUGAAGUUCAAUUCCCGUGUCAAGCAUUCUAUCAGCUUCAUCCAAAACAACAAAUGAAAUCCUAGAGAUAGAAGAAUUUCCUUGUUGUAGAUGAUCAAUAAAUCUUCCAGGAGUAGCAACCACUAUAUUGACCCUAGCUCGCAGCUUAGACCUCUGUCUUUGCAUCCUGUAAUAGAACGCAAUCAGAUCCCUUGAAAUUUGAACUAAAGAUCAUAACCUAAAUGAAGUCCACAUUUUCUAGCAUCCCUAUUAUCACCAUAUUAUUGUAGCCACCGUAAGAAUAUAUGAAACAAAGCAAUCAGUAAGUCAAUAAGGUAACAUCCAUGGAAGGAUCUGACACCCUCAUAAUAUUUAUGCCUUAAAAGUACAGUAAAGUAACCUUAUCUACAUCUAGAAAUAUGAGGAAAAGAUAAGUAAUAAAAGACGCAUUUAUCGUUGAAAAUCAACAGGUUCAUAAAGUAAAAAUAAUAGCAGAGCACCUAAAUUUGAGCGACAAUAUCACUUCGGCUGGUAUAUUAACACAAUUGUGUACGAAAUAACAUGCAAAUGCAUAUAAUGUUCUAUGGUAGAGUGGCAAGCUACCAGAUCAAUACUUAUAUUUCAAAAUACACAAAAUAUUGAAUCAUAUAGUGACCAGAAAAUGAAGCUAAAUCGGCACAUGGGACAAAUAAGGUGCUGGGAAAUCUCAUUUCUGUGCGAAUGUCAUGUCAAAGAUAGUUAUUUCUAUUUUCUAUUUACGAUAAAAUAGCAAAGCUAGUUACUACAAUAUAUUUUAGAUCGUGAUUGAUGGCUAGACUCUUGUGGACCUCAACUUUUGCAACUAUUCAUCAUAUUGUAGUCUCAAAGAAGAGCAGAUGUCUAUCUUCUAAACUAUACAUAUAAAACUAAAAGGCUUCAUGAAACCACAAGGAUUAGAAUGAAAAGGCUAGUACUGCCAAUUAUCAAACCACAGCUCCAAAAUCCUUGAUGGUCCUUCUCACUUAAUGUCCAUGCUGAUCUAUAUCAAAAAUUAUAUUUAGGCCACAAAAAAGGAGACCGUAUGACAGAAUCUACACCAAUUAAAAAUUAACAAAGAUUUGAGUAGGAAUUUAGUAACCACUUCUAAGCAAACAACAUAAACAUAUAAAUAAACAGAUGUGCAAAUAUGGAUGAUUGAUAAUGUCAUUUUCUUCAAUAGAUGAUCACCUAGCAGUUUUAGUUUGAAGUGGCCAGGAGCCAUCAUCUAAGCUAAUGGAUAAAACUUCCGGCAAUUGAAGCCUAAAUGCAACAAAUUUAAGAUAAAUUACAAUAAAAAAUGAUCAAAAAGUAAAAGAGAAAAUUUAGUCCAUGACAAAGAUUUAGGGCCUUAUUUUCCACACUGGUGAAAUUAUCAUGAGACGCAGUAUUUCUAUUCCAAACUAAAACAUUCAACUCCCAUAACCCCUCUAUCGAUGUAAACACGAAUUUCUCGCGAAACGUAGGGUGUUUACCUCCAUCUACAAUAAAAUGAACAAAAAAAAAAAAAUCUAAAUUAAUGAAAUGCUUGAGAAAAAUUGUAAUUGAAUUAAAUCCUUCCAACAUCAUAUCAUUAUAACUAUAUAAUUUCCCAAUACCUGUACAGGUUCUUGUACGGUAUUUUGUGCUAGCAUAUUCAACACAAACGUAGGGAUCUUACCUCGAAAUCCCUUUUUUUCUCUUCAAUUUGGUGCCACCAACAACUGCAAAAAUCACAAACAAUAUACCAACAAGUUAAGGUAAAAAAGUAAAAAUCCAUGUACGUUAAAUAAGAAAAAUAAUAAUCAACCCAUAAGUGGACUUUUAAAAUGAAAUGGAACAAACAUACACAAACAGGAGAAUGCAAGUUUGAGGAUCCUAAUUACAUGUAUACAUCUCAAUUUUAUGGGAAUGUUUUGAAUUCUUUUCAAGAAUUUCGAACAAACACAAAGAGAAAAUAAAAAUACAUAAGGAAUAAAGGUAAUGGCUGGGAAAUUUCAUUGCAGAAGCUGAGACCCUUGUCAAACUCAACUAAAGAUUGAUGGUUUCGAAACCAACAAGAAAAUUCAUUCUCAAAUAUAGCCAAAAGUCAAGCCAGAGUUUCUUUCACAGAAUUCAUACAAGUGUGAAACUUGGAAAUGAGAGUUUUUUUUUACCUUUGUUAGUGUGAAACUUGGAAAUAAAAAAUUUGUCUUUGUUUCAUGUUAAUCAAGUAGGGUGCUAAAAAUAAAUAAAUAAAUAAAUUUGCUCCGCAUUGUGCGAAGUGAGCAAAGUGCGGAGCAACUCUGCACUUGCUACCCACUGUGUAGAGUUGCUGAGCUUUUUUUCCCCCUAAUUACAUGUAUACAUCUCAAUUUUCUGGGAAUAUUUUGGGUUCUUUUCAAGAAUUUCGAACAAACACAAAGAGAAAAUGAAAAUAAAUAAAGAAUAAAGGUAAUGGCUUGGAAAUUUCAUUGCAGAAGCUGAGACCCUCGUCAAACUCAACUAAAAAUUGAUGGAUUCGAAACCAACAAGAAAAUUAAUUCUCAAAUAUAGCCAAAAGUCAAGCCCAGAGUUUCUUUCAUAGAAUUCAUAUAAGUGUGAAACUUGGAAAUGGGAGUUUCUUAUCUUUGUUAGUGUGAAAUUUCGAAAGAAAUAAAUUUGUCGUUGUCCUAAAUAAUUUCUUGUUAAUCAAGUAGGGUGCUUUGAAAAAAAAAAAUUGCUUUGCACAGUGUGGAGUGAGUAAAGUGUGGAGAAAUAGUUGCUCCCCACAGUGCGGAGUGAGCCGCACUUUGCUCCCACAAAAUGCGGAGGUACUCCGCACAGUGCAGAGCAUUUUUUAUUUUUUUUAGCAUCCACAAUAAAAUUAGCAAAGCUAAAUGCUCAGUAUUCCAACAAAAAUGAAUUCACCAAAUUAACAUGGAAGAUCACACUAAAAGCAAUACUUUCUUGGUAUUUCAAUAAAAAUGAAUUUACCAAAUUAACGUCAAUUUACCAAACGAAGAUCACACCAAGGCAAUAAUUUUUAGGAAAAUAAUUAAUUAUACAACCUAAACAAGAAACACGUCUACACACAACUGAUAAUUGUUUUAGCAUUUUGCACCAGAGUAUUUACUUAUUCGACUAACCACCGAGAUAACAUCAAUGAGCCAAAACAAAUCGAAUUGUUUACCGGUAGGUUGGUUUUACAACUGAAAUUGCGUGUGUGCGUGGUUUAUGUUCUGAGAAUAUUUCACCACUAAAAAUCAGGGAAUUUUGACAUAUAAUCACAAACAAGAAAUGUACACUAUUUACCUUUCAACAACAGAUAUGAAAAUAAAAAAUCAAACAUCAUUAAAAAUUCAAAAUCAGAACUCACCAACUUGAAUGGCUGAAGCCGGGUGAUUCAUUAGAGCAUCUUUUGCCAUAAUUCUUGUCUUGCCUCCUAAAAAAAAAAAAUUCUUAAUCCUCCGGGAACAACGGAAUGAUAAUACCCCUCUAAAAAAGUCUUGUAGACGUAGAACUACACAAUAAAAUGGAACCAACAUUCAUUCAAUUCAUAGCAAAAAUCUAAAUUUACUUACCAAAGCUGAAAACUACCUCUCUGCAAAACAAAGAAAUAGAAUUCAUUCAACUUUGCAAUAAACUCACUCUUGUCGAAAGGAAAAUAUGCAUUUUUAAUACAACUUGAAACAAAACCUAAAUCAAUUCCAUAAAAAUAUAUACAAAGAAAACACUACUAACCAUUACAGCCAGCAAAUUUUCUUUCGAGAAGAAAUGAGAGUAGAAAGAGAUAUUUAAAUUCAUAUACCUCUUCAACUACCUUGAGUAAAUCAAUCAAUAGAAAUUGUUGUAUCUGAAAAUAAAGAGUAUGGUUGCCUAGUAUGGUCGUCGAAAAUAAGGGCAAAAAUCAGGAUGGAUGUGAGCUAAAGAAGAGAAAGAAGAAGGAAAAAAAGAACUUCGACAAUGAAAAGUAGGAAAAAUAUACAGACAAAAAUGACGUCAUUUUCUUCUCUAUUGUACAGUAAAUUGGGAUUCAUUUUGUGUUCCAUCAAUAGUGGCAACUCGUUCAGCUUUUUAAGAGAAGUUAGAUAUGCAGUAUACGUGUUUUAAAUUGAUUUUUUUUUGUGUUUAUAUAUUACUCGUCUCAUUGAGUUUUGCCCCUAAAUUUUGUUCUUUUAUUGCUGUUCAUGUAGAAUUCAAUGUAUUUUAGUGUUUAUAUUCAUGUUUUCCUCAACUGGUUGUAACAUGGAAAUCAAAGAGAAACGGAUAGAGAAAGGGCUUAGGCUCGGACCUGUGGCAAAGGCAAGACUAAAGAUGAUGGUUUGACCUAGAGCAAUCUUUUUCAAUGGUAAUUCCCUUCUUUCUUUUUAAUUUUUAUAAUGCUUUCAGAACUCCAUGUUUUUUUCCUUGUGGAUGUAGUUCAUAUUUCUUGUCUAACUAUUAGUAAUUUUGGUUGAUUUUGUUCAGCUUUAGAGUUUUAUUCUAAGUUAGGAUCUGAUUUCUAAUUUUGCUUUCCUCCCUUCUAAGAUCUUCCAACAUUUGACGUAAUUAUUAUUAGUGUUAUUUGCCAAGAUUUUAUUUUAGAUCUGCAUACUUGGAUUUUCUUUAAAGUUAAUGCAUUAAAUUUCAUUGUCCCUUCACCAAAUUUUCAAGGGUUUUAUUUAUUUAUUUAUUCUUAAUCAAGAAGUUUGUUGGGAAUUUAAUUGGUAGCGUAUGGAACCGAAUUCACACUUACAGUACAAGUAAUUUAGACACCAGAUUCAUGCUUACUGUAUUUGCAACUUACCAGCUUACUGUAUUUGACAGAGCAUCUCACCGUAUAUGGCAGUGCAGCUCACCGUAUAUGGCAGAUUACCAUAUUUGGCAGUGACUUAACCACAGAAUUUGCACAAACUGUAUAGUAACCUAAACAAGACAGAUUUUGGACAAAAUAAUUUAAAUAACACAGAAUUUGUAUAAAUUGUUUGUUUUUAUACAAUAAAUUAGACAACAUAGAAUCUGAAUUUGCACAGAGUAUUUUUCAUAAAAUAACUUAGAUAACACAGAUUUUGUACAAACACAUAAUAUCAUCUAAGUUGUGAGAAUUAUAACAAAUUAAUCUACUUAAAUAAGUAUACCAAAUUAUAUUAUUUGCAGAGACACAAAGCAAUAUGAAUUCCAGCAAAAUAAUAAAAUACACAAAAUAUAAAUUUGCAAAUAAAAAAUUAAACUAGAAAGCAAAUAAAUCUGCAAAUAAACUUUUUAACUUGAGGCCUGUGUAAACACAGUUUCCUUAAAACAUAUUCAUCCUCUCAUCGUACGUGCAUGAGCUUUAAUCAGGGCGUCUGUUUCCCAAGAUAUAACGGUAUUGUAACAGAGUCCGAGCGCCACUGACACUGUUUUGACGAUCUGAUUUUGUACUCGAACAGUAUCACCACCUAAACGAGACAUAAAUUAUACAGAAAAAUGAUAUAUGCAGACACGAUUUUUCCUUGCAUUUUCUUGUGUGUAUCUAUGCAAAACGCUAUCCAAAUCGGCCAAUUUUUGCUUUAUUCAGUCCGACGAUCGUUACAUAGAUCAUGCCCUCACACAAGUUGAAGGCUCUGUGUAAACUUUCUAUUCUUGAUUUGCAACCCUUGAGUGCGCAAGGGAACCUCUAUGUUACACAUGAUUACACCCUUUCAAAGUGUAACUCUAUAUAAAGCGGUUCAUACUUUCUUCAUUUUCCUAUGUGGGACAAAGCUAAAUAUAGUUUUUCCACUAACAUAAACCAUUUCCAAUGGUCUACUUUAAACUACAAUUUCUCAUUCAUUCAUUCAUCAAUUUUGGUAAAUAAAUAUAUGGUUUCGAAGCUUUCACAGAGGAGAAUACGGAUCAACUUUGAUCUUCCAAAUUGGACCAACGGAUCCACUCAAAUUUUAUGCCAAAAUCAGCCACUAACCCUUUUUUUUCCAACAAAGUUAUCUUAGUCAAGAUUUGCAAGUAUAAAUCAUUUACAUGUUUCAAAAAUUACUAACUACGCGAAUGUAAUGUUUAAUUUAUUGUCUAGCUUUCUCUUCAAGCAUUUGAAGAUGCAAUCAUUCAUUAACUCCCAUAUAAGCAUAUGGAUUAUAGGUAAGUUGUGUACAUAAUAAAGUGGUCUGAUUUUAUUAUGUCUUUAUUGUAGUUCACCUUUGAUUAUGUGUUUUAUACGUGUCUUGUUAUAUAGGGAUGCAAAGGCGCUUGAAGAAAAGGCGUUCGUGCAAAAUUCGCAAGUGUACAUGAUCAUUAACAAGUAAUAUGUGAUGAGUAACAUGUAUCAUCCCACGAGAAAUAAAAGUUAAUUGAGUGUACUAGCCUCUAAUUAGAUUCAAAGUGAGCAAAUAAAAGUGAUUUGUGAUUUUUAACUAUUCUAAAUUAAUCUACUAAAACGUGUAAAAUUUGAAUUUUGUUUUUGUAUGGGAAGAGUGUAUUGGAUUACAAAUCCACCUAUUAUUAUCUAUUUCAAUUCUCAAUUAUGUAGCUAGUUUCGUUCUUGUGUUCUUGACAAAUCAAUAAUUCUAUUAUAAUUAAUUUUCUUUUUCAAGAUAAAUUAAAUAUAUUCUAGUCACGACCCAAAUCUAUCUCUAGUCCAAAUUCGAAUGAAUAAAAUGUAUUCAAUUUCAAAUUUAUCUCGAAGAUUGUACACGUGAUAAAUAUUAUUCCUAAAAUUUAUUGCACAUGUGUUAAUCAAGUAGUGUUUUACACCUAUUACGAGCUUCAUAGCACUAUAACAAGGAACCAUAUAUUUAAUUGGUGAUCAAACAAUCAAAUAAUAAAAUUAAGCAUGCUAGAUUAAUCAAGAACUUCAAUAAUUUAACUAAACUACUUGUCUCAAAUUAAAAAUAAAUAAAUAAUGGUUUCAUCCUCAUCCAAUAAACGAGAAGACUUAGCCAAGCAUAAUGUUGGAAUUAAACAAAUAAAGUUGGAAAGACAUCACCAAAAAUCAACGGAACGUGAUUAUUUUUCGAAAAGAAGCUACCGUGUCCGUGCUUUUUUCUUCAAAAUUCCAUUUGGUUGUGUGAAUUGCCCUCAAUUUUUGCCCACUUCAAUUGCAGUUUCUGUGAAUGUAUUUUUAUUUUUCUCCAGUAAUUGCUGACUUAUGUAUCUAUAUAAUUUUUUUUCAAUUCAACAGCUGCCUUAAUUGUGCAUAUUCUAUGGUUCUGUCUCUCUUCCUUUUGGCGUGCACUUAUUUAUAUUUAAAUUUCAGCAGCCCCUUAUGUUAAUCAUUCCUCUCGCCUUCUCUCUUCUUCUCUCAGUUGGCAUGCAUAUAUGUAUACAAAAACUUCCCAGCAACUACGUGUGUAUCCCUGCAAAUUUGAGCCCCUGCUUCUGUGUAUGUAUCUCUUUUUUUCCUCUGUUGGCACGUUUAUAUUGUUACAAUUUAGGUGUGAUCCGAAUUCUUUGUUGUAAAUAAUUAGGAGUUCUAAUUUAAGUCCACAUUAAUUAGAAUCCUAUUAGGAAUGCAAUUGUGAAACUUUUGGACAUUCUAUUUUAUUUACAACUCUACUACUUUUAGGGUUUGGAUUGUUUCCUAUAAAAUACUAGACUCUUCUUCUAAUUUUUGUGAGCGAAGCAUUAUUGCUGAAUUAUUGUACUCUACUUUCAUAGUAUUGAAUAAAAACAUCGUUCCUCUGCCAGUUCACUUUUAUUGUUUAUUUAACUUUGUUCUAUUGAUUGUGAUCUUUUUUUUUUUUUUAAACAACGUUUUAUUCAUAAAACCCUCACUCAAGGCUGAGGAAAAUCGUAGUAACAGCCCAUCAAUCAAUAAAAUAACAAAUAAACUAUCUCAUAUACAUGUAACUAAACAAUGAAAGAUAGGCUUUCUUUUCUGACGAAUGUACAACACACCCAUCUUAUCUAGAUGGAUCAAUCCUUGAAAAAACCUUGGUAAUUCCAUAUAUGAUAAGAACCGUUCUGUCUUCCCCUUCACACCUAACUUCGCCAGCUCAUCCGCCACCUGAUUUGCUUCUCUAUAUUGAUGCAUGAUGUGAAAGUCAAAUCUCCUGAGAAUCUCAAUUAGAACUACCUAAGAGUCCCACAAGUACCACAACGUACAUUUCCUUGCCAAAAUCCAAGAGACCACUAAAAACGAAUCACAUUCAAUAUCCACCUGAUAUAAUCCCAAAUCCUAACACAAGGUCAGUCCAUCAAUAAGCACCCUCAACUCUGUUUCAUUGUUCGUACCAUAUCCAAAGAAGGAAGAAAAACCUACUAUCACCGUACCCAUAUCAUCUCUAAUGACACCACCAGUCAUUCCUGCAUUGCCUAGAUAGCUUCCAUCUACAUUUAAUUUUAUUCUGCCAACCGCAGGUUUAGCCCACUUAAUCACCCGAAUAGGUCUCUCAUGAGACACCAUUGGAGUAAUAUCAAAAUUCCUAAGAAAUAAUUCUUCUGACUUUGAAAGAAUUCGUUCCUUUUUCAGGUUGGUUGACACAUGUUGCAGCCAGAAUUUUAUCAAGCAGAAUAUCUCUUCCACAGUUUCAUGAACACCUUCCAUUCUCGCUUUACAACGUCUCAUCCAUAGUCUCCAAGUCAGUAUAGUUGGAAGUAGCCCUUGUAAGCACUCAACCCGUGAAUUUUUAUCUGCUCUGGCCCACCAUUUACUCUAUCAUACGAAUUUUGUUUAGGUCUCCACCGAAUGCCCAAAGCCACUAAAACUUUUCUCCAAACUUCAUUUGCUGCCUUACCCGUACUUAGAACACGGCUACUAGUUUCUUCCAUUCUCGUAAGGUAACAAUCACAACGAGAAGCUAAUGUUACGCCCAUUUGAUGAACUCUAUUAUCAGCACUUAGAGCUCCAGAAAAAGCUUUCCACAUUGUUACUUACAUUCUUUUUAGGAGUACAGAAUGGCAUAACCAUCUUCCACAAGAGAUUUGGGAAUGGCGAACUCUAAUCAUGUCCCAUGCACUCUUGGAAGAGAAGGUUUCUUGACUUCUCAGUUUCCAAAUAAGAACAGCAUCCCCCUCUAUAAAUUUACUCACCUUAGCCAUAACACUAGCGGCUUUAUCUUUCCCUACAAGUUGUAGCAGUUGAUCCACAUUCCAGCCGCUAUCCAAGCAGUCAUCGUUGAUUCUAAGUUGGUUGAUCAAUAUGUGAUGCAUGCCUUGACAAAGGGCCAUCCUCUAACCAAUAGGCAUACCAGAACGAGAUAGAGCCUUCACUGAUCCACCAUUGACUGUUGUUAAUCACAUCAUAAAUGCAUCUCGCAAUAGAGCACCAAAAUCGAGAGCCUAUACAACGCAAAUUGGAGACAUCAAUCAAGUCAUGCUUAGUAUAUUUAGCCCGAAAGAAAGUUUCCCAUAAGCAAUUUGAUGAUAGUAAUUUUCAUACAAACUUCAUGUGCAAGGCACGCUGGACAUUUUCAAAAUUUCUAACCCCGAUCCCCCCUCCACCACUGGUCUGCAAAGUUUAUCCUAAGAAACCCAUUUUUUUCUAGGCCUCCCACUAACUCACCCCAAAAGAAGGAUGAGAGGAUGGAAUUAAAUCUCUUAGAAAUAGUUUUUGGAACAUUCAAAAUGGCCAACAAAUGGGUAGCCAUACACGUGAAAACAUAACGAAGUAAAACCAAUCUGCCCCCCUUGCGACAACAAUUGCAACUUCUAACCUGCAAUUUUCUUUCUAAUUUUCUCGACCAGAGGCUCAAGAUGGCAAGCAGUUAAGCAACCCUGGACCAUCGGAAUUCCCAAGUAAAUAACUGGAAAUUGACCUUCCUUAAAUCUUGUCUCCCUUAAUGUUUCUCCUUUCCGAGCCACUGAACAAUGUUAUGAGAAAAAUAUAGCAGACUUCUCCUUGCUGAUCUUUUGACCGGACCAACUCUCAUAUAGGCAUAGAAUCUUCAUGAGCUCUCUAACAGAUCUUUUCCCUCCAUUGGCAAAGAUUACUAAAUCAUCAGCAUACAUCAAAUGAGUUAUCACAGUUGUGCCCCUAGGAUGUGAAAAAAACCCAACCCGUCCUUCCUCAAAACCCCUCUUCAGCAAUCUAGUUAGCACCUCUUGCAUGAUAAUAAACAAAUAAGGGGAUAUAGGGUCCCCUUGACGAAUACCACGUGAAGAUUUAAAGAAACCCUGCAUGGUUCCAUUCAUCAUCACUGAAAAUCAUGGUGUGGAUAUAUAUUGAUAUUUAACUUGCAAAACCUCAUUGGGAACCUAAAGGAUGAUAAAACAUGAAGUAAAAACUGCCACUUCACCCUAUCAUAAGCUUUAGCCAUAUCACUGAUGCACAUGCUCAAACUUCCAUGCAUUCACUUCGAUAAAUCCUAACAUAGUUGUAUGCAAGUCAUCUUUAUUUAUCCUCUUCUUUCACUCUAAUUUAUCCAAGGCCAUUUCCAUGUAUUUGUGCAAGUUCCCACAUGAUUUUUACGAAUUGAGUAAGAGUGGAAGACUGAGAACAUUCAUUCAAAAAGUUUCUAUGGUAAAUCAUCGUUGACCAUUUUUAAGGGUUAUGAAUCAGGAAGGUUAUAUUAAUUUUCUCUCGUCUUUCCAAUUUCCACCGUAAUUCUGGGAAUUUUUGUAGGAGUUGUUAGCUCCAAUUGAACCAACACCUUAUCCAAGCACAAGAGCAGUUUUAGUUCUAUUCACUCAAAGAACACGUCUCUUUAACGCUUGAAUAUAUGCAAUCUGAAAACUCACAUGAUGGAAACCAUAAUAAGUACUGCAAUAAUCCUUAAACAAAUUAGCUAGAGAAAAGAGAUUGAAAAAAAAAACUGUCCUUCAAGUAUAUUAUGGCAUAGUUACUAUUUCAUAUAUUUCGACUUCUAGCGAUGCAUAGGUCUGAGUUGCAAUUUUAUUUUAUGUAUAUAUAUUGAAGGGAUCAUCUUCAGUUGUGAACGAAACGUUGUUGGUUUGAUUUAGGAAAUCUCUUUUCUGCUCAAACCCGAAUAAUUUACAAAAUUAAAUUAAAUAUUGUUAGCUUUUGGUAAUUCUAAAUUCUUGUAUAAAUACUUCUUUUAAUAAUUUAUUUACUUAAUCCUAAGUUAGUCAUUAUCUACUAUUACUUAGUUUAUUCAGUUUAAGUAUAGAUGUGAACUCCAUAAUUAAACUAGAUAUUAAUAGAAUCAGAUGAGUUGCUACGAUAGUUAAGAUAAAAUAAAAAUUGACUUUAUUUUCACUUAUCCUCUAUUUCAAUCAAAUUUAAUUGUUUAUAAAUUUUCUCUCAAUAUACUGUAAGGUUUUUUUUCAAAUUUUAUUAUAUUCGUUUUUCGUUCAUCCUCUCAUGUUCAUUGUUAGCUUCAAUCACACUGCAUCUAAAUCACGGUUUCUUCUCUUCAUAUUGACAUGUAAUGUGCACUCUUAUCUUAUAUUUCUUUCCUUCGUGUUGAGUUUUUAAAUAUUCAAUUUUCUAGCUUCAUUCAUUCUUUUUUUUUUUUUUUUAUAACAAAAAAUUGACCAUGUUGGUUAUUUGUGUAAUGUUAUAGCGUUAUGUUUUUGUAUUGUAGUUUGUUGAAGUACUGAUACAAUGACUACUUAUAUUCUAAUUAUUGGCUAACUAUAAGUUUUGUGUCAUAUUUCGAGUUGUCGUUAUUCUUUUUUCUAAUACGAGAACAUUCCUUCUGUGUCGAUCCUUGCAAGGUUUAUGUACUAGAGUGGUUAUAUUGUUGAUAAGUAGGGAUAAGAGCUUACAUCUCCUCGUCUUCAGUGAGGAUAUGUUCUUCAUAUAUGUUCUUCCUAAGUGGAUGAUUCUAUUUAUCUUCUUGUACAAGAGGUACUUUCAUAAUGCGUUAUACUUCUUGUAUUAUCGAAUCAUUAUAAGAAUUGCUUUGUCCACGGAGAUUUAAUUAUUUAAUUUAAAGUGUACGUAUUUUACUAUGAAGGAGGGACGUACAACAUAAGGCUAAGUGAAAAAGUUUGAAAGGUUUGAUAUUUUAUUUGAAUUCCGAUGCUAUGCAAGUAGAUAGUAAUGGUGGAGGAGGAAAUGAUUAAAAUUUUAAAGUUGGUAUAAUUACCACGUGGAAACAAGAUGCUGGAAAAGAUAUGAUGGAGAUUCUGGUAGCAAAAACUACUAAAAGACGCUACAAUCAUGUUAAUUAUACUGUGAUGUUUAGCUUGGUUUGUGAUUCAAGCAAUUUUGAAGAGAAUGAUGCUCUUCAAAUGAACUAUUCAAAGUGGGUAUAGUCGACUAAACAUCUAUAGAAAACAAGUGAAUGAUCCUUUUGCUACUUACUACAAAGAAAGAAAGUUAAUGUUAAGUAGCAUCAAAAUAGAGAAAAGGCACAAAUACUAGCAGUAUUGCUAAAAGUCUUGUUGUUUUGUGACAAUUUAAAAAAGCAAUAAUAACCUGCAAUUAGAAGGACAAACACCAAGCGUUAAUGAAGUUAAAAUCAUAAGUUAUAACCAUUCCUUUUAAUCAUAUAUUGGGGUUACUAGCUAGAGUUCAAAGCAGCCCUAUAGUAAAGAUAUCCCUUUAGAUUGAUGAGUCGGUUAUUUUGUGAAAGGUAUCAACAUAGAGAAGGGAAUGGGUGAAAUUUUGUACAAGUUGGAUGGUGAAAUUGUUGAGUUUGGUGACUCAAAUAUAUUAGGAUUCCUUGUUGAUUUGGAAUUUGAUCAAGUGGAAUUCUAGAAAUUGAUUAGGAGUCUUUUGAUGGCGUAAUUGGAGUUGGAAAAUGAAUCUAAUUGCAUCCUACAAAAGGAAACAAAAUCCUAUUGAAAUUAAGUCUCCUAAUUAUAAUAUAUUUUCUUAUCUUUUAGGACUUUUCUAAGGUUGGCCUAUAAAUAAAGGCUCUUUUGUCAGUUUUAUUAGAAAGAGAGUAACAUAGAAGCAGCAUUACUAAUCUGUCUUAUAUUCUCCAUAUUGUUCAAUAAAAAUAUUGUUUCCUCUGCAUUAAUUUUCUUUGUUCCUGUUUUAUAAAUUUAAUCUUGUUUUUCGUCUUGUGAUCUGAUUUACUUCAUAAUUUUCAUUAUAAUCUCGUUCUUCAAAAUCCAUUGGAAUCAACUUGUGUUUUUUGGGAGCUUUCGUAUCCAACAAGUGGUAUCAGAGCCAAGCUGUUGAUUUUCUGUGGAUUGGUUGAGAUUAUUUUGGAGAUGGUUGGGUUGAAGUUUGAUAUUCCGCAAUUAGAUUGCAAUACAAGAUUCUCUUUGUGCCAAAUAAAGAUGAGGGCUAUUCUGGCACUGUUGGAUUUGGAAGAUGCGUUGCUGAGUUUUGACAGGAUGCCAGCUGGAUGGAAAAUGGAGAAGAAACAACGGAAUGAUCGAAAUGCUACAUCAUUGAUUCAUCUUCAUCUGUCCAACAACAUUCUACAGGAUGUCUUGAAGGAGAAAAUGGCGGCUGCUUUGUGGUUAAGGUUGGAACUGUUGUGUAUGACCAAGAGUCUUACAAGUAAACUGGCUCUUAAGCAAAGGUUGUAUUCCCAUUGCAUGGCAGAAGAAGAUUCUUUGGAAGACCAUGUUACCAUGUUCCAGGAGAUAGUGGCAAAUUUGGAGACGUUGGAGGUCAAGUAUGAUGAAGAGGAUCUUGCCUUGAUCCUGUUGUGUUCACUGCCCGGGUGUUAUGCGUCGUUUUGGGAUACUAUCUUAUGUAGUCGGGAUACUUUGAUUAUAGAAGAUGUUAAUGAGGCCUUGCACUCAAAGGAGAAGAUGAAACUUCUGGUUGGAGCUACAUCAAGGGAUGGAGAAGCUCUUGUAUCUCAAGGUGGUUGAUGAAGAGGCAGAUCGAGAGUCAGAUUUAACAAUGUGACUUGUAACUACUGCAAAAGGAAGGGACAUAUUCGGAAGAAUUGCGAUGAGUUGCAUGCAAAAGGUUUAGCUGCAAAUCGUGGAAUGCAACCUGUGAAUUGAGACGAAACCAAUGUAGCUAAGAAUUGUUUAGAUAGCGAAGAUGUGAUGUUGACUGUGAUAUCCGAUGUGGAAUCUAGGCCUGACGAGGAAUGGAUUCUUGAUUCGACAUGUUCACAUCAUAUUUGUUCUGAUAGGAAUUUAUUUUAGACAUAUGAGGAUGUUCAGCAAGAUGGAGUUGUCAUGGGAAACAACCAGUCUUGUUGUAUUGCUAGAAUCAGUCAAGUCAGAUUGCGGUUGCAAGAUGGGACGUUCAGAACACUUGGCCAGGCUCGACGUGUUCCAGAUUUGAAGUGGAAUCUCAUUUCGCUAAGUACCCUGAAUGCAAAAGGGUAUAAAUUCUCUGGAGGAGAUAGAGUCUUGAAGGUCCGAAAGGGAGUCCAGGUUGUACUAGAGCGAUGGAGAAGAUCUCAGUUGUACAUUUUGCAGGGGAAUGCAGAACUGGUUGGGAGACAUUUGGACAAGUUUAGUACCAUGGUGGAAGUUUAGUUUGGUACAGUACCUUUUGGGUUGGGCUCUGAGUUGGUUCAGAACACUGCUAGGGAGAGCGUUGGUGAUCCCACUUUGCCACCAAUUUUAGCGGGCACGCUGUGUUCAGUUGCUAGGGUAGGACUCAUCGAGCUUAGGUACAGAGAUGUCAGCAAUGUCUGGGAUGCUUUUGGGGAUGUUGAAGACGAUAGUUCAAGCAAGGGGUCUUCUGAUCAAGCAUCUAGUUUGGUUCUUGCUACAGGAUGUGCUUCGGCCCCGUGUGAUCAAUAUUAAUUACUUGGUGAAAAUUGGGACCCCGGAUAUUGGAUUUUAGCGUCAGUUGUGGAUGCCGGGCAGAGGACGAGUGUUUGGUUUAUAUGGAGUGGUUACUGUGUUGAGAUGAUUCGGCCAGCUCAUUUCGAUGGAAAUGGAUUUGAAAUCUAGAAGUUUCGUUCAUUGCACCGAAAUUUGAGUCAAGGUGGAGAUUGUUGAGUUUGGUGACUCAAAUAUAUUAGGAUUCCUUGUUGAUUUGGAAUUUGAUCAAGUGGAAUUCUAGAAAUUGAUUAGGAGUCUUUUGAUGGCGUAAUUGGAGUUGGAAAAAGAAUAUAAUUGCAUCCAACAAAAGGAAACAAAAUCCUAUUGAAAUUUGGUUUCCUAAUUGUAAUAUAUUUUCUUGCUUUUUAGUACUUUUCUAAGGUUGGCCUAUAAAUACAAGGUUCUUCUGUCAAUUUUAUUAAAGAAAGAGAGUAACAUAAAAGCAGUAUUACUAGUUUGUCUUGUAUUCUCCAUAUUGUUCAAUAAGAAUAUUGUUUCCUCUAAGUUAAUUUUCUUUAUCCCUCUUUUACAAAUUUAAUCUUGUUUUUCGUCACGUGAUCUGAUUUAUUUCACAAUUGUCAUUAUAAUCUUGCCACGCGUUUUAUGUAAUGUGAUUUUACCGCAAGUGUACGGUAUCAAGUUUUGUAGUAUAUUGAUAAAAUAAAAAGUGUUGAACUCAUGGGGAUUAAUAAUUAAAUCCUACUGAGUACUAUAAUGAUUUUGGCUUUUCACUUUAUUUAGACAAUCAAAUAUUAAAUGGAUGAUUUUAUAUUAAACUAAAAUAUCUGAAUUAAAGGGUGCAAGUAAAGUGCAGCAAUUUCUCAAAAUUUGAUCAAAUGUAUGAAUGCCUAGGGAAUGAUUUCACUAUAUUCUCGACGAUGUUUUUCAACCUUUAUAGCUAUUUCCAUAAAUUCUUUUUCGAAUUUAUAGGCAAGAAUCCUAAAUUAACUCUAUCCCCUGUCUCGAGCGCCAAAUAGAAUUUAUCUCUAUAUUUUACCUCCAAUAUCUCUAUUCUGAAUUAAACAUAGAGAAAUUAUCAAAUAUUUGAUUCUUGAAUUGAAUUGGCCUCAAAGAUUCGUACUUUCUCUCGAAACCUACAGAUUCUAGGUUAUGUCAUUCUUUAAAUCACGCCUAAAUUUCCCUCUCUCAAGCAGCAAACUUAAAGCAUUAAAUCAUUCAAUUGUUGAUCAAGCAAUUGAAAGCAUUAAGCAAGAACAACAUAAAUAAAUUUCUGGAAAAUCAAAGGAUAAAACUGUAUUGGAAUCAAAACAUGUCUCAAAUAGGUUACGCCAAGCCCUAGAUCUCAAAGUUUAGUUCAUAAUUGAAUUGAUUGACAUAAUGAAAUACACAAUAAAAAACAUGGAGAAGAAGUAGGGAAUAAGAGAAAAAAAACUAGUUGUGUUGCGUUAAUUCUUCCCCUAAUCGUUGUCAAUCUUCUUGCAAUUCCUUGUUGAUUUUCGCCUCUUAGAUUUUCUCUCCUUGCAAGCCUCUUUUUUUUUUGUCCAGCAGAAGAAGGUACGUCGUUCUCUUCGUCCUCCUAGGUUAAGUAGUACGAUAGAUUUUAUUUCCAUAAGAGUUUGUGUCAAAAAAUGAAUCUGCCUGAUUUUUUCCAAAAAAUGCCCGCGCACACAACCUAUUGGUUCUACAUUUUGCUUAUGAAAUUCAACCCAUUGCGCGCGCCACUAUUAAACUUUUUCAUGUGUUACACUUUGGUCCCUAUAGUUCAUUCUUCGUUCCUUUUGAUUCAUAUUGACAUCUUCUUGAUCAUUCGUCCUCCAAUACUAUUUAAUUGCCUCUCGCUCUUCUUCAAUCAUUAACAGUAGGCCCAAAUCAACUCUUGGCACUCUGCAAUUUAGUCCCCAAACUUUUGAUUAAGUUCAAGUUAGCAAAGUUUCCGCUCUUCUGUCCAAUUUCAUUGUUUUGCCUCGAGUUACACCUAACGAAUGAAAUAUGUAUGAAGUUAAGUAUCAAUUCAUCCUAAAUAACAAAAAUUGCUCUAGUUUGAUGAAUGAAAUAAGUGUAUAAAAUACACUUAUCAAAUCUCGUUCUUCAAAAUCCAUUGGAAUGGACUUGUGUUUUUUGGGAGCUUCCAUGUCCAACAGAGGUAAUGGUUAAGAAUGUCAUUAAGUGUAAUAGAGGAACUUGUACUAUGACUAUGUUUUACUUUUAAUGGUGUGUUUCCCCCUAAACAAUACAAUUUUCAUUAACAACGUUACAAUCAUAUUGAUGUGGAACGUAAAGAAGGUGGACGUUGUUACAUGUGUCUCCUUACGAAAAUUCAUGUUCACUAUGUUGUGUUACACUGCCUCUAGAAAUUAUCUUUUGAUGUCGAAUAUGUUAUUGCAAUAAUUGAACAAAAAAGUUCUAGUAUCAGCAUUUGCCAAUUCUUCUACAAAUAUAUCUCAUACAUGCUUCACAUGCAACUAACUUGCAGCUGGGGACUAAUCUACCAAAACGUUUUCCAUUUAUGGGUUGACAUAGACUUGUUUCAUUUUCAAGUUUGUUGGAAUAAUUUCUUGCAAGCAAUGGUUCAUGUCAAACAUAGCUCUCUUUAUUUUCUCACUCUUUCUUUGAGUUCUAAGCAUAGCAUCUUUCUCCAAUUCUCACCCUCUUUAGGUUUUCCAAUUUCAUAUUUCCAACUAUGUUUUGCUAUUCGUUAGUUGACAUAAUCUCUGAUUAAUAUAAUAAUACUUGUGUGAAAUUGGUUUUAGCUAGCGAGUAGUGUUGUGUUUCACUCAAUUUUUAGUUAAGCAUUGACGCAUUUGUUUGGUUUGCAUUACAGGAGAUGUUGGCUUUGUUGGGAAGAAACAUGGGUCAAGUUUGGCUGACAAAUAAUGGAAUUGAGAAAAUGCAGCUAAAAAUAGACACAAAUAUUUACAUGGUUCACCCAAUUUAGGUUAUGUCCACAGGCAAGUAUAGGAGGGUUUUACUAUAAUAGGAGAAUUACAAGACUCCCUAAAUACAAGAGGUAACAACAAUUAAUCUCUCUUAUAAUUAGGAGAAAACAAGUAGAAAAUACCUCGGAGAAAACAAUAAUUUCUCUCUAUUUUUUUUUCUCUCUGGUCUCUUAAUUUUCUCUCUACUCAAUUUGCUUUCCACAAAUUUUUUCCUCUGUACAUGGCACUUUUUCUCUUCAACCAUUGCCAAUAUUUAUCGAGAAAAUUUUGCCGCCUUAAUUGCUUGGAAAGUUCAAGAAAAUUAUCUGCAACUUGGCUGGUUAUUUGUAGGAUUUCCACUGCCUUCAAUUGUCAAGAAUAAUGGCUAAACUUGGCUGCCAUUUCCUAUACAAUUUUUUUGAAGUCAACAAUUUACACUUUGCAUUAAAUGCAUGCAAUAUGCCCCAAGUCAACAAUUGCUGCAAAGGAGAAAAUUGUUGCCUCUUUUAGUCUAAAAAAGUGGCUUUCACAUAUGCAUUUUUCGGCUGUCACUUAGCUGGUAGAGAGAAAUCCUAUUUUGCCAACUUUUUGCAUGCAUGUACUUACCUUAGUUGUUAAGUAAGUGAUUAAAGUAUGUGCAUGAAUUUAGUCAACAAUUGUAGCUUUAUUUUCCAACAAGGCUUCUGAAGUUGAUGAGAAUCAUCCAACUGUUGGUCACAUUAUCUCCACUAUGGUUGAAGGCAAAUAUGAUGAGCCCAAAAGGGUUGGUAUUCAAACUUCAUCUAUUAAUUUUCAUUGAUUCUCACAACUGAAUGUUUUAAAAGUUGUAGAAGAAUUGAGAUGGUUAUCUUUUUAAUGAGAGCUAAUAGGUUUGUUUGGGAUGUUUUCUGCAGACAAUUAGUUACACAAUAGAAUGUAUUGUGUGUUACGUGUUAAUACACUUGGCCGACCCACUGGGCUUAUGGCCUACCCAUGCCGAACCACGUGGCAUGGUGGCCGAGGCCCUUAGGCCGACGAAGGACACUCAACAUCUAGAAGUAACACCCCUUAUGUGGCUCAACUACUUGAAAGUCGAAGUGCACUAGCCAAAAUGGUCCAUACCUAGGCCUUUAUGCCGAAGCCCUGUGAGUUGCCGAGGCCCAUAUACCGAAGCCCUUUGAAAGUUGCCGAGGCCCAUAUGCCGAAGCCCUGUGAAAUUGACUAAGGCCCUUAUGUCGAAUCCCUGUGAAAGUUCCUGAGACCCAUACACCAAAGUCCUGUGAAAGUUGUCGAGGCCCAUAUACCGAAGUCCUGUGAAAGUGGCUGAGGCUCUUAUGCCGAAGCCCUGUGAAAGUGGCUGAGGCUCUUAUGCCGAAGCACUGUGAAAAGUAGUUGAGGCCCUGAUGCCGAAAAACUAUGAAAAUGGAGUCGAAGCCCUGAAGUAGAAGUAUUAUGUGAGUGGCCGAAGCCCUGAAGCCUAAACAGAAGCCUCCGAACCAUAAAGGAGCAUCUUCCAUAUUCACUUCUCCCAAGAGAUCUUCUUCUACAUAAAGACCGUGUUUAAAUAAUUGAUGGGACGUUUGUCAUGAGUGUAAAUGUUAAGUCUUGUCAACAGAGUGGGGGUUCUACAUAAGCAAUAAAUGUGCAGCAGGCUAGGAAGUCAAGAAUGAUGCCUACGAUUAGACGUUUGAGUUAGGAGAUGAGGUUACGUGCCUCCUCAUCCAAGGGCCACUAUUUUACAUGAACUUCUAUAAAUUCUUCCCUUAUGUAACAUUAAAGAAAAAAUGCAAGAUUCAACACAAUAAUAAAUACAACAUUCUUUACAUUUUACUCUCUUGCGACAUACAGACAUUCUACAAAUAUCGAUGGGUAAUUAUUGUACAAUCGUUAUGCAAACAUCUCGUCGAAUUCCUAACGUUCUCGUCCCAUGCCUUUGAGCCGCUCCCAUGUCCUUUUUACUACUAGUUCUAAACUAUCCAUGUGUCUUAGCAUAUUGGACCAGGCUUAUGUGUGCGCGGGUGGAUCCGGUAUCUGUUGACAACAUAUUCUGGGGUCAACAGAUUGACGCCGUUUGUGAGAAAUCAUACCGUAACCGUGUGGAAAAGCUUACUAAAAGAAGAACAUUCAGUUAUCCCCCUUAAAAAAGGAUUUGUUCUUGGAAAAGAAAAAACAGAAGCCCCAUAGCUUGCAACAAUUCGAAGUUAGAACGCGAAAGAAUGAGUUCGGACGAAGAUAUACCCCUUAGGAGGGUAAGGGAAUAUGUGAGAAUGUCCCUACUAACAGCUGCCCCUGAGGUUCGGCGUCGACCUCAUCACCACCACAGAAGAGGUGGCAUGCGAAUGGACACUCAGUUAUCGAGAGAGAUGGCCACCAUGGCCGCAAACAUAAGGGAUAUUGCUAGCCAAAACGUGGCCAUGAGGGAGCUCAUGGCCCAAAUGCAGAGCCAAAGAGGCUUCCCUAUUCCUUUCUAUGCACCCCAAGGACAUUACCAAGAUGAGGAAGUCCAAAGCUAAAUAGUUGUAUCACCGGAAUACAGCAGAGGUAGAAGCCCCAUGGAGAGGAAAGUAGAAGUUGAUGUUUCUUUCAACUAUGCUUUAGGAAGACCUACUGAGGUCUCAUAUAACCAAGAUAACUUCUUACCCGCAUAUAAGCCGGAACAAAGACCCAGGAGGUCAAACAAUGUUUUUUUACAGAAUCAACCCAGCCAAACCGAAUCAAGUGAGGCCACAACCCCCACCUCCAAUGACAAUAACCGGAGGAAAGGCAUGAAAAUGUCCCCUGUGAUGCUCCGCCUAGAAAUAGGCGCCAAAUGAGGAAGUAGGAGGCUAGAAACUAGGCCGGUCCUUCAUAUUUACCAUCCAGAUAUGAAGCUGACGAGAACAACGACUCAGAUGAACAGCAAAGGUCCUUUGACUUGGAUGACGAUGAUGAAAAUCUAUCAUUUUCAAGGGAAUUAAGGAGUGCCCAAGUAUCGAACCACUAUUUUAUGCCUAAGAUACCAAAAUACCAUGAAAGAGGCGACCCGGAGAAACAUUUGAAUGCUUAUAACCCAUAUAAGCCUGAGAGGAGCCACUCCGACAGUAAAGUGCAAAGCCUUCCACUUGACACUUAGUGGGGAGGCGGCUGAAGAAGUGGCCUUUAAUGAUGCCCUCUCUUUUAUAAAAGAGGUGAUGAAAAGAAGACCCCCUGAAAGUAGAGAGGCUAUUGAAGCAGUCCUUAAUGAGACCCCCUCUUUUAUGGAAGAGGCAAUGAAAAAAGGCCCCUUGAAGUGGGGUGACGGCUGAAGAAGUGGUCCUUAAUGAGGCUCCCUCUUUUUUUUAAAAAAAAAAAAAAAAGAGGUUAGAAAAAAAAAAGACCCCCUGAAAGGAGAGAGGCUAUUAAAGCAGCCCUUAAUGAGGCCCCCUCUUUUAAGGAAGAGGCGAUGAAAAAGAAGAACCCCCGAAAGGGAAGAAGCUAUUGAAGUGGCCCUUAAUGAAGCCACCUCUUUUUAAAAAAGAGGCCAUGAAAAGAAAGACCCUCUGAAAGGAGAGAGGCUAUUGAAGUGGCCUUUAAUGAGGCAUCCUUUUUUAAACAAUAGGCCAUGAAAAGGAAGACCCCCUAAAAGGGGAGAGGCUAUUGAAGUGGCCCUUAAUGAGACAUCCUCUUUUAAAAAAGAGACCAUGAAAAAGAAGACCCACUGAAGAAGUGAUCUUUAAUGAGGCCCCCUCUUUUAAAUGAGAAGAAUGAAUAAAUAGGACCCCUGAGAAGGAAGAGGCUACUAAAGAAGUGACAUUGACUAAGAGAACCCCCUAAAAAGAUGAGGUCUCUGAUGAAGAGAUUAUUAGAAGACCCCUCUGUAUAAAUUGGAGGCCUCCAAUGAAGAGGCCAUAAAGUGAGUAAACUUGAAGAUGUGGUAAUACUUGAUGAAUUAAUUUAGAAUCUUCGUCCUUGGAAUAUGAGACUCAAAUGCUAUGAAAGGACUAAAAGCAUACGAAAAUGUGAACUUGGGGACUGACGUGUAGAUGUUUCCAAAGUGGAAGAACUGUGAAUGCAAUUUUAUCAAGGGUAUGAUUGAAAUAUACAAGAUCAAAGUUGAGGGAACUAGCCAUGUAAUUAUUGAAAAACGUGAAGGUAGUUUUGAUAUUUUGCUUAAGUAAAAACAUGAGCUUCCACAGGCUCACCAUGCAAGGCCUCAUCCUUAUCUAUGUUUCAGGCUCAGCUUAUAAGGCCCCAUAUUUUAUCUAUACUUCAGAACCACCACUAUCUAAGACUUCAUCAUUUCAAGCUAAUUUAUAAGAUUAUAAUAUUUUCAGAACUAUACAUGGGAUGUUUAUUCCCCACCUUGUCAGAUGUCUAUUCUUGGCUUCGUGAGAUAUUCAUUUCUUAUCUCACACUAUCGUCGAGCUAAGAUGUAAGACCUUGUCAUUCUAAGGCCAAUUUACGAGACUGAUAGUUUGAAAGAGCCACCCAGUUCAACACUCAUUCCUCGUUCUUCGAGAUGCCUCACCAUAUGGAUGUUUUAUUACAACUGCUUUUAUCUUCAGAGAGCUUAUAUUAGUCUCCACAUGGAUGAACCAUCCACCAUGUGGGGAAGUAUGAACGUCUCCGAUGAGAGGUCUCGAUCUCAACAUGAGAUCACCUCGCCUGAACUUCGAGGCAUACGCCACAUGCAUCCCUUUGGUGAAGCUGAACGCCAAAGAAAGAAGCAUCUACAUGGCUAUACUAUCCACCAUGUGGAGAAGCGUGGGCACCUCGGAGGAAAGGUUCUGAUCCCAACAAGAGAUCACCUCACCUGAACUUCGAGGCGUACAACACAUGCCUCCAUUUAGCGAAGUUGAACGCCAAAGGAAGAAACCUCUGCAUGGCUGCACCAUCCAUCAUGUGAGAAAUCAUGGGCACCUCGAAAGAGAGGUUCCGAUCUCAAUAGGAAAUUACCUUGCCUGAACUCCGAAGCAUAUGCCACAUGCCUCCCUUUGGCGAAGCUGAACGUCAAAGGAAGAAGCGUCUGCAUGGCUGCACCAUCCACUAUAUGGGGAGCGUGGGUAUCUCGAAUGAGGGGUUUCGAUCUCAAUAGGAUAUCACCUCACCUGAACUCCGAGGCGUGCACCACAUGCCUCCCUUUGGCGAAGCUGAACGUCAAAGGAAGAAGCCUCUGCAUGACUGCACCAUCCACCAUGUGGGAAAGCAUGGGUACUUCGGAGGAAAGGCUCUAAUCUCAAUAACAGAUUACCUCGCCUGAACUCUGAGGCGUAUGUCACAUGCCUCCCUUUGGCGAAGCUGAANNNNNNNNNNNNNNNNNNNNNNNNNNNNNNNNNNNNNNNNNNNNNNNNNNNNNNNNNNNNNNNNNNNNNNNNNNNNNNNNNNNNNNNNNNNNNNNNNNNNNNNNNNNNNNNNNNNNNNNNNNNNNNNNNNNNNNNNNNNNNNNNNNNNNNNNNNNNNNNNNNNNNNNNNNNNNNNNNNNNNNNNNNNNNNNNNNNNNNNNNNNNNNNNNNNNNNNNNNNNNNNNNNNNNNNNNNNNNNNNNNNNNNNNNNNNNNNNNNNNNNNNNNNNNNNNNNNNNNNNNNNNNNNNNNNNNNNNNNNNNNNNNNNNNNNNNNNNNNNNNNNNNNNNNNNNNNNNNNNNNNNNNNNNNNNNNNNNNNNNNNNNNNNNNNNNNNNNNNNNNNNNNNNNNNNNNNNNNNNNNNNNNNNNNNNNNNNNNNNNNNNNNNNNNNNNNNNNNNNNNNNNNNNNNNNNNNNNNNNNNNNNNNNNNNNNNNNNNNNNNNNNNNNNNNNNNNNNNNNNNNNNNNNNNNNNNNNNNNNNNNNNNNNNNNNNNNNNNNNNNNNNNNNNNNNNNNNNNNNNNNNNNNNNNNNNNNNNNNNNNNNNNNNNNNNNNNNNNNNNNNNNNNNNNNNNNNNNNNNNNNNNNNNNNNNNNNNNNNNNNNNNNNNNNNNNNNNNNNNNNNNNNNNNNNNNNNNNNNNNNNNNNNNNNNNNNNNNNNNNNNNNNNNNNNNNNNNNNNNNNNNNNNNNNNNNNNNNNNNNNNNNNNNNNNNNNNNNNNNNNNNNNNNNNNNNNNNNNNNNNNNNNNNNNNNNNNNNNNNNNNNNNNNNNNNNNNNNNNNNNNNNNNNNNNNNNNNNNNNNNNNNNNNNNNNNNNNNNNNNNNNNNNNNNNNNNNNNNNNNNNNNNNNNNNNNNNNNNNNNNNNNNNNNNNNNNNNNNNNNNNNNNNNNNNNNNNNNNNNNNNNNNNNNNNNNNNNNNNNNNNNNNNNNNNNNNNNNNNNNNNNNNNNNNNNNNNNNNNNNNNNNUUUUUUUUUUUUUUUUUUUUUAAGGGAUUAAAAUUUGAAAAUUCCUUUUAAUUAUUUUCUGUCUGAUCUUCCAAAGAAAUCGUUUGUUCUUGUCAAAUACUUUAUUGUAAAUGUAUGGAAUCAGGGAAAUUGGCACAAGUCAAGAAUAAUUCCAUGAAGUCAUUGUUGCAUCUACCCUAUUUGAUAAGAUUGGACCUUUACAAUAUGUCAACAUUUUUCCUUAACACUCAACACAUUAACAUUACCUUUAAAAAAAAAAAAAAAAGAUUCGUCCAUACAUUGCACGGGCAUGACACCAGUAUAUAUAAAAGGAACUACAAAAGGGGGGAAAAAUGCUUUAUCUCCUUUCCCACACUGCCACCUUUACCUACCCCAUUCUCACCAAAUAAUGUCAUCUAGUACCACCAGUACAAUAACAUCAAUUUAGGUGGUGCUAUGUGAUAAGUUCAAUAAAUAGUGAAAUUAAAUGACUCAUUAUACUUCUCAUUUAAUACCACAUUAGUAUCACAUAAACUAUUGUUGAAACAUUAUUAGUGCUAUUCCACUCCAACGCAUCAAAACCAGUCCAGAUGAUGAAUUUAUUGUGAAUGAAUGUGCUUCAUUCUUCAAAUUAAAUUUAUAUUUCAUUAAUAAUAAGAACACAAACUUCAGCUAAUUUUUGCAACGGUUCAAAUAUUUAGAUAAAUAAUUAUUGACAGAGUCUAUGAGAGAUCGAUAAUCUACUUCACUCUUAUACUAGUUUUCAUGUGUCAUACAUACUGUCAUUUUAGGAGUUUUUCGUUAUUUCAGAAUCAGUGUGCAUUUAAUUCAAGUUUCAUACCAUUAGUUUUCUUGAUUAUGAAUUGAUUUCUUCAAUAUAAUCAUGUUUCGGCUUUUCAUAGAAAAAAAAAAAAGUGUCAUACAUUUACAAUUUUCGCGAACGUGCAUCGACUUUUUAUUAUUGAGAACGAAAUCUGUGCUUAUUUAGUAUAUAUUUUAAGAUAACUAUGUAUUAUUAAUUUAUUAUUUCACCAUAAUUGCUUCAAUACGUAAUCAUAGUCUAUCAACUUAUGUUAGGCUUUUCCACGCGUUUCUCUAAAGAAUUUGCUUGCUUUUGGAAGUGCUUGAAUUAAAAUUUCUUAUAUCGUCUUGUGAAUUAAUUUUAUUAGUAUGAAAGAGUCGUUUUUGUAUCAACUAUCAAUAAGAGGGCUAAAGUUUUAUCCUACUUCGACUUUAUUUAUGUUCUAGUAAUGCUAUUCACAGUUGUUCACUGCGAUAAUCGCCCUACGUGGCAUCCUAUGUGGUCGUUUGUGAUUUGAUAUAUUAAUUUGGUAGUUUUUUGUUACCACAUAUAUCAAAUCACUAACCGUCAUAUCUGUGCCACAUAGGGUGACUGCGGUAGUGAGUGAUUGUAAAUAGCAUUAUUCUUUAUAUUAAGGUAAUGUGAACUUCAAAGUGUUUCAGUUGUGUUUCCAACAAAUUUGAUCGAAUUGAGUAUUUAAGAUAUUGAUAUCAUAAAUAUGUUCACAAAUAGGGUAUAACAUAUUUUAAUCAAGAAUCACGUGAAUUCUCAAUCAAAAUGAAAACGAAGUAAAUAUAUAUAAAUUAGAAAAAGAAAGUUAUAUGUUAACCCUAAUUCUUGACCAUUGAUAUAAUGUUAAAAUUUUGCAUUUUCUAUCAACUAUGACUUUUAAGAAAAAUAGUUACAUCUUACUACAUGAGUUGAUACCAAUAGUUGCACAAUUUUAAAGAGAAUUAGUAAGGCUACGGUUGGUUUGGCGUUUUCGGACUAUUUUUCAAUUUCUAUUUUCAAAAAAGCGGGAAAUACGUUUGGUCGAUCGUUUUCGAAAACGAGUUAAAAUUUAUAACUGAAAAUGCAAAACGAUUUUUUAUCAUUUUGAACGUUUUCAAUUAUAAAUUCUCAAAACACGAAAAACGCUCAAAACAUGCCAUUUUCGGAAAAAACUAAAAAUCGUUUUGAAACCGAAAAUGAAAAAUGAGAAAUUAAACCAACCGUAGCCUAAGAGACUUUAUUUUACGAUCUCUCCGUCUAUUUUACAUCUUGUCAGACGUCUAUUCAAUUGAUCAAUUACAUGAAUUCUAGUAUAUCAACAUAGUUUUUUUCCAAGUUUAUAUUCUAAAAAUUAUUACUUUCAACAAUAGAUAUUUAUUAAAAGCAAAGCCACCACGAGCACUUAUUGAAAAAAAAUAAUGACCCACAAAUGAGUACUAUAAUGGACGGUAGAGACUAGAUAGGCUUGUUGGGUUGUUGAAAAGACUCAUCAAAGUGUGUGUCUGUGCGUAAAUUUUAUGGACUUCAUGAUGUCUAUUUCAGUGUAGGGACGAAAAUGGGUAAUUGGCAUAAAAUGUCCAUAUCUUUCGAGAUUAUCGUGAAAAAUGUCUCUACUAUUUAUUUUUUGAUAUUUUUGCCUCCAUUUUCACCUUUUUCUGCUCUGAACGUCCUUUUCACCAUUUUAGACGUAAAAUGACCAAUAUAUCAUUCUAUUUAAACAAAACAAAACAAAAAAAAGGGGAAAAAUUGCAACUAUAGGCCCAAACUUUUCAUAUGUGCAAAUGAGUCCAAAAUGAAGAAAACCCGUCUUUCACGACUCACCACAACUCCACCGCCGGCCUCCACCUCAACAACCACCACCGAAACUGACUGCCAUAAACCUCCCAUGGGCCGGCUGCUUCUUUUGCUGACUGCCAGCACUAAUUUAUACGCAAAACUAAGCUUUCAACACGAGUAGAAGUAUCAAGGCAAAGAAGCAACAAAAUGAAAAUAAUUUCUUCAAUGGCACAGUUUAUAGGGUCUUCCAUUUACUUUGAGUGAAGAACAGCUACAGGGUGCGUCAUAAGUUGACAACAGAUUUCCACUCCAAAACAAUCCAUCAAUUAAUCAAAUUCCCCACCCACCCCGACCCCUCUCCUCCACCACACACACACACACUCACUCACUCACAGAACCAUUUACCCAAUUUUAUUAUUGAAAUUUCGUCAAUACGCUGACAGUAUUUGUUAGUUUACUCAUACCCAUAGCAUUUUUAUUCUUGAACAUACAAUGAUCAUUGUUAUCAAUUUGGAGGAUAAAUGGAAAAUUUAAAUCCAGAUUCCAGUGCCUUGGUUUUCUUUCUGGGCUCGCUUGCUUUGCUUAUGUUGUACAGUACAGGUCCAUUAUCAAUUUGGAGGAUAAAUGGAAUUCUUCUAGCAGAAGCAGCUGCUGAUUUGGUGGCACCGUACAGAUCCAUUAUCUGGAGGUUCGAUGAGCAGAAGUCCGCUGAGAAAACAGAAUGCAUCAUUUUUCAGCUUAAGGAUCUCAAGAUUUUCCAACAUUUCUAGAGUGACUGGAGUGGGGCUGAGGUGUGGAAGACGGUUUUUUAAAUUUUGGAUUCAUUUGCACAUAUGAAAAGUUUGGGACUAGGCUUGCAAUUUUUUUCCUUUUCAUUUUUUAUUUUGUUUAAAUAGGAGGAUAUAUUGGUCAUUUUACGUCAAAAAUGUUGAAAAGGACAAUCAGCGCAAAGAAAUGUGGAAAUAGGGCAAAAAUGUCAAAAAAAAAAAGUAUGGACGUUUUCCACAAUAAUCUCGAAGGUAGGAACGUUUUGUGUCAAUUAAUAAAGCCUUAAGUACAUGCUUUAUUGUCGGAUUUUUUACAGGGUGCUGACAUGUCCUGUGGCCUGUUUUCCUUUUUGUUUUAUUACCUUUUUUUUCUUCCAAUGGAAACCCUCCAAGUGUUACUCUGUAAAUUUUCUGUUGAUUAUACUGUACUUAUAGCAUUGUUCUAAUCAACAAAUAAUUAGUCAAACCUUAUAAAGGAAGAUCAAUAUUCAAUUUCCAUUUGAUAACAGAUUACACGUCCCUUAAAAAUUCUGACUAUGAAACAGUUUCGUUUCAAAUAAAUAAUAUAUACAUAUUUUUUUUUUUUUCAAUUGUCUAGCAAUAUCUAAUUUACAUUACUAGAUACUCGUUAAGGAAUAAAAAUCUCACUUUGAUUAAAUAUCGAAAUGUUGAUCAAUUUAAAAAAAAUUUGGAUUAUCCUUCUUAAUAUGGUUGACAUUUUAAGAUGGAAUCUCAAACUUUAACAUAAUAUCAGAGCUCAUUAAACUCCAACGAGCAAUUCGAUCAAAUUAAGACUCUAAAAAUAAGCACACGAAUUUCAAUAUUAGUCUGCUCAAACGAACCACCAUCUUGCGGGGGCAUGUUAAAGAUAAAAAUCUCACAUCAGUUAAAUACCAAAAUAUUGACCAAUUUAAAAAUAUAUUAAGUUACUCUUCUUAACAAGGUUAAUAUUAUUAAGAUGGAACCCCAAAUCUCAACAUAGUAUCAGAGCCCAUUAAAUUUCAACGAGUAAUUCGAUCUGAUUAACACACUAAAAAUUAGCACACAAAUUUUAAAAUUUGUCUGCUCAAACGAGCCAUCAUCUUGAAGGGGCAUGUUAAGGGAUAAAAAACUUACAUCGGUUAAAUACUGAAAUAUUGACCAAUUUAAAAAGAUCUUGGAUUACUCCUCAUAAUAUGGUUGACCUCUUAACUAAACGUCAGUAGAAUAUAAGCUACGUGAAUCUUAUUUUUUCAGAUAAACUUGAAAUUAUCGACAAUUCUUUCGAAAACACUACUCACAAUAGUCCAUACGAAAUAUACUCGCUUCUUUGGGUCAUGAAUGUCAGUUUUAUGCUUGAGAUAAACCUAUGCUACCCCUUCCCUUUCUUACUCCGAGAGCUCAUCGGGAGGUCUCAAUGAGAUACUCACGAGGUUCCAAGGAAUAGCUACUCGUGAUUCAGGACCCCAAGAACUCUCAACUCGGAUAUGGUUAGAGGGGAUGGAAGAAAGGUGGAACAUAGGAAUGUAAAAAAGGUUCGAUAUUUUUCCAAGAUUCUUUCUCACUUUCUACUAGUCAAAAAACUAUGAUGAGUCUCAUAAAAAGUAAUAUUAUGUGUGUAGCAAAGACCAAAAUAUGAAGUUUGAUAAUAUAUUCACCUUUAAAAUAAGUAUUAAGUAGCACAUAAGAUAUAUUAAAACAUAACUAUGUUUUACUUCUACUUCAAGAUGAAAUAUGAACUAAAAUCUACUGAAUGAAUUGGUAUCUCAAAGGAACAGAUGUGCCUUUUCCAACUUCAGUAAUCGAAUUUGACCUGGUUUUCCCCUUCAAAAAACUUGCGUACCAGCGCGCUGAAAGCUUUUGAUAUCUUCUCAGGUCUUUGUCAUCCAAAUCUACGUAGUAAAAGCCGAAGGAAGUCCCAUAGCCAUCUAGUAACUCAAGACCGUCUAAGAAGGUCCACGCAAAGUACCCUUUUACGUUCGAUCCAUUUCUUCGAGCAUUCCAGAAUGAAAAUUGAGAAUAAGAGAAACCACAAUCAGAGACACAAAAAUCUUACCAGAAUCAACUUGAUAUUUACUCUUUUAAAUCAAAUAUAAAAAAUAUCUGGAUAGUUGUAUAUGUGAGUUCAAAGAACUUGUAGCAGAGCAGCACCUGCAAGUUACAAGAACACAGUGCCAGUAUCCAGUAAAGGUAGAAGUUUCAACAAUGCUACGGAGAUUAUAAAGAUGAAAGUUUGUAAAGGUCGGGGGACGAUUAGUUUUGCCUAGACAGUUGGUGCCCUCUAUAUUGAACCACCUUAUCUAAAAGCUUAAACUGUUAAGAGAAAACACAUUUAUUCAUUCAAAUUUAAUCUUCAGCACCCCUUCAUGUGCAUGCCAAGUUCAGCUCUUAUCAAAGGCCUGACACAUGCACAAUAUUCACAAAUGUAUAGCAGUGAGACAUGAAGGUCUUUUGUUUGAUCUAAUACAAUGUUGAACUACUUCAUUUAAAAGCUUAAGUUGUUAGAGACGUGAUAGGUUUAUUUAUUCAAAUUUAGUCUUCAACUUAUAUUUUCUACAAAGGAGACACUAUAUGCUUUUAUUUGGUGGUGUCUGUGUCACAGAAAGUUGGGUACUCAUCAAGGAAGAUAGAUUGUUUUCCGAAUGCCAAGUCGUUGCUAGAAAAUGGCAGGAUAUGUUGCAAGUGCAAGGUAUCAAGCAAAGUUGUUGUCAAUGUGGUGAAGGAAUGUGGUGAACAAGAAAGCAGAAAGUAGCAAGUAGCAACCUACUUCAGGAUAUUUUUGUAUAGCUUUCAUAAUAAUUUUGGAUAAUGCUAUUGAAAUAUCAAGCUAAAAGUUUUCAGAUUCAACCUUAAAUGGAAAAAACUAGAAGAAUAAACAGUCUCGUGAAAUUCUUGUUGUCCUGUACUUCAAGAAUCUUACAUGGAAUUGCAAAGGCUCACCUCAGAGCAUCAAGCAAGCUCCCAAUGUAAGCUUGAAAAUAUUCAACCCGUGGCGUGUCAUUUAGCGUUCCAUUGCGACGCGUCAUCUGACCUGCAAAAGCAACUCUUUCCUAACUAAAUUGUCUAAUCUGGGUAAAAUCAAAAAGCUCUUUCACAUCAAUUUUGUUCAAUCAGAAAAUAGUAUGGAAUGGAAGCCUAAUAAAUAGGAACAAUGCAAUCUAUUUCAAUCGUUGCUGAUUUUCUCUUCACAUAAAUAUUCUUAAAAGGUUGCUAAUUAGCAUAUUCCCUGCUCCCAAGUGUAGGAGGUAAUUAACAGGACCCUUUGAGAGAAACCACAGGGGAGUAAAAAUGUACCAUCCGUUACUAAACAUUAGGAUAAAAGUAAAAGAGCUUAAGUUGACGAGCAUUUCUAGACGAUGGUUAUAAUCAAUAAACAGUCCAAGAUCCACUUUUUCAAGAUGCACGUGUCUCUAGUUAGUUACCUGAAGUCGGUUUCUUCAAUAUAGGAAGUGAAGGAAAGUUGAAUACGCUCCUAGAAUAUAGAGGGAUGGAGGGACACAUUACAUUAAGAAAGCACAUGGCACAUAGCACACUUGAACUGCAACAUGCAAGUUCAAAUAAAUCACGAGGAUAUGAUUUAUAGUGAUCUUUUUUUAAGCAAACAGUUAAAUGAGAUAACAAUAUAUUCACAAUUGUUGUCUGCAGAAUAAUGACAGUGUUAUAUCGAUAAAGUGACGUCCCCCCAAAAUUCAAAAAAAAAACUCUUGAAGCUGGGGCCAAACAUCAGUAAGGAUAGUGAAUAUUUAUGCCUUAAAAAUGAUAUUUUCUUUGUGAUUUUGCAAAAAUAUUUCCAAGCUAUGUGAAUAGGAUCCUUAACACUGGGCAUCAAUUACCACGACGAUAAGUAUGACUUUAACAUAGUUGGAGUAUAAAUGGUAAUAGAGGAUAUGGCGCAACCAAGAACAUGCAUCAAAAGAGGAAAUGGAUAAUCUUAUACUCGAGGUCUCAAGCAUUUGGUAAGGUGUUGAGAAAAUGGAAGUAGGAUAUUUCAGUAUGUCCAUUGAUUUAUAGUGACUUUCUUGUUAAAUCAAACUCUCAAUUACCAUCUCAGAUGAAGGCUUUUGGUUCAUUUUGCAUAGGCACUGACCUUCAUUCGGGACAAGGGUGGUAGCUUCCUUCAUAUAAUUACCAAAAAACAAUGUAAACAAAACCAACGCAUGGAAAAGCACAGAUGCAUGUGUAGACACACACAGACACAUUGCGUCGAAGAGUUUGUGCGUUACUGUGUGCGCAAAUAGAGAGAGAGAGAGAGAGAGAGAGAGAGAGAGAGAGAGAGAGAGAGAGAGAACCAUUUUCAUGGAUAUAAACAGGCUGAUUUCCAUAAACUUGUUUUAGAUACUCCAGCACUCCAUAGAGACCCGAAGGCAGCACGGGAUACUUAGCAACACAAAAAAUUAAAUUUUUAGAGUCAAUUAUUGAUAUAAAGAACAAAUAGACAUCGUAAAGUUAUUUAGAAUCACCUGAUCUUGUGGCGUGUCACCCUGUUGCUCUACAGCAACCCGAAAACAUGACAAGUUUAGUAAAUAUAGAAUAACAAUAGCACUGGUCAAUUAGUUGGACACAGAAAACUAUCACUCUCAAAAAUCCCACGUAAGGAGCAACAUUUUCUUAAGGAAAGAAUACUAGUGGAAGCUAAAAUUAAACAGGUAGAACAAUAAGCUUUAGCAACACGUGAAACAAAAUGAUGAGGCAAUUAAGCCAGUGAAUCUAUUCAGACGACUCCGCAGCUGGUAAUUCUGCGUUAACAAGUUUGUAUUCAAUAAAGCAUGAAAGUCUUACCUAUUAUCUGUGCAGCAAGGUCAGCAGAAAAUCCACCGUUGUCUGCUUCAAGGAUGCUGGGAUUAUCCUUGACGAAAGCUGUUGUGUAGUGGUUCACUCCUAUGAAGUCAACUGAACCCUUAAUUUGCUCAGAUUCAAGUUUGGUGAAGGUUGGAAUUCUUGUUUGGGCAUUUUUCUUUACUGUUUCAGGAUAGUCUCCAAAAAUCAAGGGAUCAAUUAACCUGCAGUACACAUUGAACAUAAACUCGGCAUGUCUACGAGCGAAAACUUUCUCGACUCCAAAUCAGCCUACUGUUGGACCAUUCUAGCCAAUUAUUGGACCUUCCGACAUACGGGAGGAAUUGAAUGGUAAAUUUAGGGGCCAUUUGUUUUCCAUUUUUGUAAAAAUGAGAAUGAAAACUAUCAUCGUUAUGGACAACACACAAGAAGUAGAAAUUCAAAUUUGGUGACUUGAUGUGAUGGAUGACGGUCAUAUUUUUCAUUUUAAUGGGGAAAGAAUGGAAAACAAACAGGAACUUAGUAACUAUUCAGAGUUUCAACUUACCACCCAAUAAAAAAAUCAUUAGCUCUUUGAGUUGCAAUUAAAUCUUCUGUUGCAUUGGUGUAGGGUUCAAACCACAUAGUAUAGAUGUUAAAUCCCACGUAACCUUUUUGGAUGGCCUGUAUUUGAACACAUUAUUCCCAAAAUACACACAAGCAUAAAUGCUGAGACACUAGCUAACACAUAUGCCUCUUUUGUUACAUUUCUCAUAUUGAUUACCAAUUUUUUGAAAACAAAAUAUAUGCUGAGAAUUUAGAAACAAAUCCAUGCAAAUGCGAGAAAUUGAAAGCACGAACGAUACCUGGUAUUUGGCCCUAUAUAGCCUCACAACAGCUGCAUGUGCCAGCAAGAUAUUAUGCCCCGCAAUGUAUGUUUCAUUAGAGGAAUUACCCCAAGAGCACCUUGUUCUGUCUGAACAGCGCCCUGGGGCAAUGAUACCUUGAUCAUAACCACCCACGGCAAAUAUAUUGGCCUCGUUAACGGUAGUCCAGUAUAAAACCCUGUCACCAAAUUCCCUGAAGCACACAUCUGCAUAUGCCGUGAAGUCCUUCCUGAAUCACAAACACCCUAAGUUUCAUUUAUGUCUCUGUGUCAAGAAUGUAAAAGUAGCAAAAGAUGUAGACAUAUUAAAAUUAUGUUAUUAAAGAACAUACAAAAUCUUCCUACUAAGCCAUCCUCCAUACUCAUCUUCGAGUGCUUGUGGUAGAUCAAUAUGAUUUAAUGUAACAUGUGGUUGAAUUCCUGUAUGAUGACAAAUUUUUUAAUUUGGAAGCAGUGAGAGAUAAAUCUUUGAUGGACUAUAGGAUAUAAUGCAUUUCCUAUAAGUAAGAACAUAAAAUUUGUAGGAAAUUCUGUAAUCACCACAGCUUAUGAGUUCAUCGAUAAGAUUGUUGUAGUAAUGUAACCCCUUUUGAUUGAUAGGUCCUCUUCCAUCUGAAAAGACAGUAGACCAUGUGAGUAAAAGAAAAAUAUACAUUUUUCUUUGAACACGGCAUGAUGCAGGUGAACAUACUAGGAAUAAGUCUUGACCAUGAUAUGGAGAUUCUGAAGGCCUCCAAAUUUGUCUCAACCAUCAGUUGGAUAUCAUCCUGCAUGAUGAGGUAUAAUUCCCUUGGUGCAUGUUCAAAUAACCAUGUGAACAAUGUUCAAAAGACAACUUUUAUACGAUCCAGAUAUUUCCGAGUCUUUGAUCGGGGAAGAAUACAAGAAAAAUAUGUGUCAUGCACUCAAAAGGUUUUCACUAUAUGAAUGAAAGACUGCAAUGCUAGCACCUUCACUAAAUACACCAAGGCCCUGUUUGCACCACAUUCCUUGGAAAAAAUGUAUUCUUAAACAGUGAUUUAACAUUAUUUCAAUCACACAUUCUUCAAUAAAAUGAUAUUACACGCAAAUCCAAAAUUGUUCCUUAUUUUUUAACAACACAUUUCUCAUCAAUACACUAUUCAAAAAUGCAUUUUGAAGAAAAUAAUAUGGCUUAAACAAGGGCUAAAUGAUGCAGAAGUACCCCGUGCAUCCCACCUUGGAAAACAGAAGAGUUUAAAGGAAAAACCAAAGAAAUUCCUGAAUCUGCUAGCAAUGGAGCAAAUGAUGGAAUAGCUAACCAUGCCUAUAAGCCUCUUGGCUAAAAUUACUAAUGGUAAUCAAAUCUUGAGGUUCAUGGAAUAAUAUCCAUACAAGUGUGCAAUUGUUGCUUGAGGGGAAAGAAAACGAUGAAAGGGAAAGAAAUAUAUGUUAAAUUAGAGCUUCAGCCGUGUGUCCACCUUGUAUUUAUGAUAUCCAUCACACGCUAUGUCUCCAUUGGCUCCAUUUGUAUGGCCUGAAAUUUUUAAAUAGGAGGAUAUAUUCAAUACGGUGAUAUUCAGAUCAACGAUUUACAUCAUUGAAUCUACUCCACUAUUAGCAGCUCUACGCACCAGAAUCUGAAAUCAGACCAUUUCACUCAUUAAUGGUGAAAAAAAAAAAUAGCCUCUUAUGCUUCUAUAAAAAAAUAAAAAAUAAAAAGAAAGAAAAACCGUGCCUCUUGCCAUUACAAGGAGUUUUUUCUCCUGUUUGUGUAGAGUGGCAUUCCCAUAAUAGCGAAUUGAAAAGCCAUAAUCACGGGAUGUCAAGAAUAGGUAACUUAACUUUAUUUCUUUUGUUUGCAAUGACAGAAAAAAAAAUUUGGAUAAGAAAAACCUCUCCAUAGCCACUAAUGAGUUAGUAGAAUGCAGAUUAAGGCAUUAACAUUUAUGAAACACUUUUGGCCCAAAAACAUCAUGACAUAUGUGCCUUAAACUUUAUAAUUAUCAGAUCAUUUUGAUCAAAACUGAAUCCUCUUCAAUGAUGUAAUAGAUUAUUCCAUUAGAAUAUUUAUGAAAAUAUCUGCUAAACACUUGAACCAUUUUUAGUUUUCGAACUGGUGUAGCAGCUUUUCUGCCAGAUUCUUAUAUGAACCAGCACCAUCUUAACUGUAACAACUUAUUUCUUAAUGGUUCACUCUCAGUAGGGAAAUUUAGCUGGAAUAGGAGUCAGUUCUACCAAAAUUUCCUUGUGAACAAGGAGAGGAGCAAAAUGAGUUGGUAAAAUACAUUUGCAAAAUUGAAUUAUGCACAUGAAGUCAAUGUUUGUCUACUUAUUAAUGUACAGGAUCAUGACAUUGCGGAGAAUUAACAGAAAACAAAGACCUAGAAGUAUAAAGAGAAGAACUAGAGACGAGUACAGACCAGAAUGUGCAAAGGUGUCCCAAAUGCUAGGACUUCUCCCAUCCUCAGAUGCUGCGCCUUCAUACUUUUAAUAGAAUGACAAAGAAACAUUCAUCAGUUUUAUUCAGGCAAAGCUUCAGAUAGGAAUUAGAAUACUGAUCCAGUGAAAAGAGAUUGUUAUUUGAUUAUCAUUAAAUACGAAGCAAAACUAUAAUUUUCAAUGUUCCUACUAAUUAAGCUAAUAUUUUCAGUUCCCUCGUAAUUUGAGGCUACAAUGUUGGGGAGACAAAAGGAAAUAAGGCCUUCUUUUUCAAAAUUGCAUAAACAAAUAUUUUCUUUUUAUUGUCAGAAUCAGAAUAUACUUGUUUCUUUUUUUACGCUCCCUACUUCCUCACCAUCACCAUUUUUCUUAUCCACAUCCCUGCUACCCAUGCCACCAUCUCCUAUCCCCCCUACUCCCACCUACCAGCUCGCUCUUCCAAUUUGCAUUUCCAGUAUUAAGACUUGGUUUACCAUCAUUUAAGAGAAGUAUCAUAAGUCCUUAGAAGUCAAUGUUCUAAAAAGCGCAAAGUGUAUGUAGGCGUGGCGACAAAAUUUCAAGCUUUACGAGCUUAGGCGACGCCUGGGCGUAAAAAGUCUUUUUUUUUUUUAAUAUUAUUUUUUAUUUUUAAAGUUAUUUAAUAAUUAAAAUUAUACAUAUCAAAGAUCUAGAAUUAUAAAACAUUAUAUUUACUUAAUAAUUCCUACAAUUAGUUAAUUAUCCAAUUUUUAAGUUUUUGAAAUGUAGAAGUUAGACUAUUUUUCAUAGUUUUAAUUUUCAACUAGACAUGUCUUACUAAAUCGAUUUAUAGAAACUCUAUAUAUGAUUUCAAAGUUUUCAACAAAAUAAUGAGCAUCAAGAUUAUAAUUACGUAAUAUAGAUAGCACUAUAGCUUAAAUCUUAUUUAACUUUUUAUCCGAUAAAAUUAUUGUUAACUUUUGUACAAUAAAGUCUUUUAAAAAUUUGAAGUUAAUUCAAAUGAAAGUUUUUUCAAAAAAUAAAAAACUAAUAAACUAAAGUCGAAUAAAAUAUUUGUUAAUAAAAGGAAAAAAAUAAAAAAUUUAACAAAGCGCACUUAGGGAAGACAGAUGAAAAGAAGGAAAAAAAUUAGUCGUUUAAAAAUUGAAAAAAAAAACAAAAAACAAAAGGGCCUAGGUGCAAAGCAAGGUGUUUUGCCAGAGCUUCAAGUGUAGACGAGCUUUUUAGAACAAUGAUUAUAGUCAAUAUUUAAUCUAUGUGAGAUUUUUCCCUUAACAUUCAGGACCUACCAAAGUUGUUCCUGGGUCCUAGUAGCAAAUCCAAACCUCCUCCGUAAGAAGGGAAAGGAGCCGUGUAUUCCUACUUUAAUAAAUCUAAAAUUACUCUCUCCAUUCUAUUUAUAUGGGUUUGUUUUGUUUUUAACACGGAUUGAUAAAUUUUAUUUAAUGUUAUUAAAAAAAUAUUUUUUGUCAAAAACUUUUCUAAUUUGUCCUUAUUUAUAUUUGUACAACUUCAACAUUAAGUAGAAAAAUUGACCAUAACUAGUAAGUAACGGUAUAUUAUUAAACGAAUAAAACAAAACAUUCUCAAUAAAGAAACAAGACUAUAUAAUUAGGACAAGAAAAUAAGAAAAGUUAGUUAUAUAAGACAGAGGGAGUGUUUUUUCCUUUUUUUUCUUUUUUUUUUCUUUUUAUUUUUUUUAUUUUUGUGAGUGCAAGAAGAAGCUUCGUAAGUACACCAAAGACGCAGAAAAUUUUGCAUGUAAUUUUGCCUAUAUCUCUACAUUUUUUCACUGAAUGAAAGUUCAAAAUUGAUAAGAGUAAUUUAGGUUUAAUCAAUGUCCCCAACCAAUUAUUCCAAGUUAAUCAGUUCACAUAAUCUAAGAACAAACAAACUGGAAAAUAAAUAAAUUGCAGCUAACUUGAUAAGCAGAAGUUCCAGAACCAAAAACAAAGUCAGCCGGAAAAUCCGUUCUGCUAUAAUGAUCAACGCAGUGAACCGCCACCGGUAAAUGCAACACCAGAAAUAGCAAACCAAUAUACAAGCUAAUUUCACGCAUAUUCUUCCAAUCGCUUGGAUUUUGCUCUUACCCACUACUGAAGCCCUUGUCAGUUUCUUCCAUUUUUAUACAUAAAUACUCCAUCAGCAAACUACCAAGCAAAGUUCUCACAUAACCAAUGACGUAUACAUAAUUUUAAAUAAACUUUCCUUCAAAUAAGCACUUAUUUGAUGUAAAAAAACUUAGUUUAUCAAUCAAACAUGCACCGCACUUUAUGACUUUUCCACCUUGGAAAGUUUGUUCUUUCUGGAAAAAAUUGAGUUCAUCGUCCUAUUUUAUUGCUCGAGCAAGAAAUUUGUCACUGUCAUGAUAGUUCCCAUUAUGAUAGCUUAACUUGUAUGUUUACUCUAAUCACUAGAGCCAAGCACAAAAAACAGGCCAUGUAUUUCUUAUCUUGAUUUUGUUGUCUACUGGAAAAUGCUGAUCAUCGGCCGACUAUUCCGCUAAAUAUCUAUCUCGAAUGCUGUUCAAGUCGUACUCAACUUGGAAUAAAGUGUGCGAUACUUAAAUUAAUAAAUAACUUAUAUACACGAGAUAAGUAUAUAAACCCGGUGUCUAUUUGUCAUAUAAUGACUUGUUCAAGGAUUCAUUGUUGUUUACCGUGUUUUUAUGUAAUUGGAAUAAGCUCCAAUUUAAAGGACAUAUAAACAAAAGAAUGAUCGAAAACGAAUAUCAAAAGCUGAAAGAAGUGAACAGAUGCAGAGAUCUUUACCAAUUGAAUUUUAGAGUUCUAUGCAAUUUAUAGCUCACAGUUUGGAGUUUUAUAUCAAACGAUAUACAUAUUUUACUCCGAUGGUUAGAAAAGUGCCACAAAGGUGGGGUACUUGCGAUCGCAAGAAGGCCAGGGAAUAAGCCAUACUCGAUACAACUUGCAAGCUAAAAUUCUACGGCCCUGAGUCGAUGUUUCUAAGUCUGAUUCUGGUGUAAUUUGAUUGAUGAAUUGAGGGUAAUUUGGGGUUAAUAUUGACCGAAAAAGAGAAAUGCUUCAACUUAUAAAUGGCUAAUUAUAUAUUUGUACUACAAAUUUUAAUUACCAUACCACAUUAUAAUUACACCACAAUUAAAAUAUAUUUUUAAUAAAUACACUACAAUAAGUUUACAAUUAUACUCCUAAUUUUCAAUAAAAAUAAAAAAUUGAAAAGAACAUAAUAUAAUAUUGUGGUGUACUUAUCACCAAUAUACCUCAUUUUCUCAACCUUCUCCUCAUUUAUUUCAUAGCAAUUGAAAAUAGAAUAUUGGUGAAGAACACCAUGCCAUAAUAAAUUGAAUGUUUGUCACAAAUAAUUAAUAUGCUCGAAAGGAUCAUUUGAAGUUGUCAGUAAUUUAUUUGUGUUACCUUUUUUAUUCGAAAUAUGAAUUUUUAAUGUAUUCACAAUUUCAUUAUUUAAUCUUGGAUAUCUAUUUUGGAAACACUUAAGUGGAAAUUAAGUGCUUGUUUGAUAGAGAUUUUGUUAAUGAAUUUUUUUGACCUUUAGAGAUAAAGUGGGUCCUACCUGUAAAAGAAAAAUUCAAAAAUGACUGUUGGAAUAGUAAAAUAACGAUCAAAAAAUUGGUUUUAAUUGACUUUUAAACUGUACCAAACAAACUCUAAGAAAUUUUAUUGACAACAACAUUAUAAUUUAAUGGAUAUAAUGUUUUAAUAAUUCAUCGGACACAUUUAAAACCCAACUUGAGGAAGCAUCUAUGACAUAUUUUUGAUAAACUAGACAUGUCUCAGAAUUGAAUUAUCAGACAUAAAUUUAAUAUUUGAUUUAUUCAUACUUAGUCAAUAGUAAAGUAUUGUGUAUAAUCAUAUAUAUUGAAGUCAAUAUCAUUUUCCUAACAUUUAGGACAAAUAAAUCGAAUUAUGAUAAGUUAUAAAAAAUUUAAAUUUAUUAUGAUCCUAUAAAAAAUAAAAUAUAACAAUAAAAACUUCUUGUUGAUUAAGAACAACUUUUGAAAAUUCAUAUACCUCAUAGACAAAAAUUCGCAAAAACUGACGCACCUACAUAUACACAAAUUCAUUUACGAUUUAUCUAUAUACCAUGAGGGAAAAAAUUAUCUUGUCGUCGUGGAAAAAGGCAAUAGUCGUCUGAAAAACUAUGAACAAUGAGAUGUUGAAGAAAAAAAAGAAAAAAAUUAGGCUUUAUAUUUGUGGAGUAACAAUAAUUUAUUUAAUUAAAAAGUAUAUUAAAAUUCUAAUUGUGUAAUUUUACUUAAGGAUAUUUUAGCAGAAAAUUAUGGUGCACUUAGUAAAAUUUGUAGUGGUAAUAUAAUUGCCUUUAAGCUUUAUAUUUGUGGUGUAACAAUAAUUUAUUUAAUUAAAAAGUAUAUUAAAAUUCUAAUUAUGUAAUUUUACUUAAGGAUAUUUUAGUAAAUGAGAAAAUUGUGAUGCACUUAAUAAAAUUUGUAAUAGUAAUAUAAUUACCCCUUAUAAAUACCCUCAAAUGUAAGUCAUUAAAGGAGGACAAUCUAGCACUUGAACAUUCAUUCAAAAGGUAAAUUGCAAAUGGGAUUUGAAAUCUUUCACAAAAGUGCUGCAAGUCCCAACCUUUUUAUUUUUUACAUCACCACUGCAAACAUUUGCAAAAAUAGAAACCAUCUCAAGUUGACUUAACUUCAUAAAAUUAGACGAAUAAACGCCACUUGAAUUAAUAAAGAUGUCGACUAUUACAGCAUGGGACGAACUAAGCAAUUUAAAUGAAAGACUAAAAUCAACUUAAUAUUUUUUUUAAGGUUAAGAACCAACUUGCAAUUUGAACAAUAAGUUGAGAACCAAUCAUGCAAUUUUUUCAAAGUUCAAUUAAUCCAAUAUUGAAGGGAAUGAAAUGGGAUAAAUCUCACGUCUAUUAAAGACGAAACAAAUAGUCAACAUAUAAGAAUAUUAUUCCUAAUAAAAUUGAUGUUUUGAUAAAUUUUAAUGAAAACAACCAAAAAUUAAUCAUUGGAUCAAAAAGCAACAAAAAAAGGGGUGCCAAACUUUUGACUUUUAACCUAUUAGUUUGCAUACUUUGUAUCGUUUAUAACUUAGUUAUCCUCCAGAAUACGUUUCUCCAUUACCAUAUGUAUGCUUCCAUAAUUGUCCAUCGAUGACAUUGAAUAUUCUCUUUUUAUUGUUCGAAUCCGAAUACACUUGUUUCUUCUUUUACACUUCCUACUUCUUCUUCACCAUCACCGGUUUUCUCAUCCACAUCCUUGCUACCCAUGCCACCAUCCCCCAUUCCCCCCUACUCGUGCCUACCAGCUCGCUCUUCCAAUUUGCAUUUCUGGUAUUAAGGCUUGGUGUACCAUCUUUUGAGAGAAGUAGACCAAAUCCUUUAGCUAUAGUCAGUGUUCUAAAAAACGUAAAAUGUAUGUAAGUCCGGAGACAAAGUUUCAAGCUUUACGAGCUUAGGCGAGGCUUGGGUAUAAAAAAUUGUUUUUUUUUUAUUUUUAAUAUUAUUUUUUAUUUUUAAAGUUAUUUAAUAAUUAAAAUAAUACAUAUCAAAGAUCUAGAAUUAUAAAACACUAUAUUUAUUUAAUAAUUCCUACAAUUAGCUAAUUAUCCAAUUUUCAAGUUUACGAAAUACAAAAAUUAGACUAUUUUUCAUAGUUUCAAUUGUCAACUAGACAAGUCCUACUUAAUAGAUUUAUAGGAACUUUAUAUAUGCUUUCGAAGUUUUCAACAAGAUAAUGAGCAUCAAGAUCAUAAUUACAUGAUAUAGAUAGCACUAUAACUUAAAUCUUAUUUAACUUUUUAUCGAAUAAAGUUAUUUUUAACUUUUGUACAGAUAUAGUCUUUUAAAAAUUUGAAGUUAAAGUCAAACAAAAGUUAUUUUAAAAAAUAAAAAACUGAUAAACUAAUUCGAAUAAAAGAUUUUUAAAUAAAAGGGAAAAAAAAUUAAUAUAGCGCACUUAGGGAAGACAGAUGAAAGAAAGGAAAAAAUUUACCGUUUAAGAAUUGGAAAAAAAAAAAAAAUGCACCUAGGCACGAAGCGGGGCAUUUUGUCCAAGCUUGAAGCUUAGGUGAGCUUUUUAAUACGGUGGUUAUAGUCAAUAUUUAAUCGACGUGAAAUUUUCCCCCCAACAUUUAGGACCUUCCAAAUUAGUUCCUGGGUCACAGUAGCAACUCCAGACCUCCUGCGUGAGAAGGAAAAGGAGGUGUGUAUUCCUACUAAUAAGUCUAAAAUUACUUCCUCAAUCUCAUUUAUAUAGGCUUAUUUUGUUUUUAACACGAAUUAAGAAAUUUUAGUUAAUGCUAUUGAAAAAGCAAUUUUCUGACAAUUACAUUUUUCACAAAAUAAAAGUUCAAAAUUGAUAAGAGUAAUUAGGUUUAAUCAAUUUCCACAACCAAUCAUUCCAAGUUAAUCAGUUUACAUAAUCUAAGAACAAACAAACUGGAAAAUAAAUAAAUAAAUUGCAACUAACUUGAUAAGCAGAAGUUCCAGAACCAAAAACAAAGUCAGCCGGGAAAUCUGUUCUGCUAUAAUGAUCAACGCCGUGAACCGCCACCGGUAAAUGCAACACCAGAGAUAGCAAACCAAUAUACAAGCUAAUUUCACUCAUAUUCUUCCAAUCGCUUGGAUUUUACUCUUACCCACUGCCGAAACCCUUUUCAGUUUCUUCCAUUUUUAUAUAUAAAUAUUCCAUCAGCAAACUACAAAGCAAAAUUCUUGCAUAACCAAUGACGUAUUAUACAUAAUUUUAAAUAAACUUUCCUUCAAAAUAAGCACUUAUUUGAUGUGACAAACUUAGUUUAUCGAUCAAACAUGCACCGCACUUUAUGACUUUUCCACCUUGGAAAGUUUGUUCUUUCUGGGAAAAAUUGAGUUCAUCGUCCCUAGUUAAUUGCUCGAGCAAGAAAUUUGUCUCUGUCAUGAUAUUUCCCAUUAUGAUAGGUUGACUUGUAUGUUUACUCUAAUCACUCGAGCCAAGCACCAAAAAACAGACCAUCGUUGCCAAGCUUAUAUUUUUACCUAAAAUAAUAUAUUUCUUAUCUUGAUUUUUGUUUUCUAUUGGAAAAUGCUGAUCAUUGGCCGACCAUUCGGCUAAAUUUCUAUCUCGAAUGAUGUUUCAAGUCAUACAAAAUGUCGUACUCUACUUGGAAUAAAGUAUACGAUACUUAAAUUAAUAAAUAACUUAUAUACGUGAGAUAUUCGUUUAUUUGUUAUAUAAUGUCUUGUUUGUUUUUUAUCAUGUUUUAUGUAUUUGGAAUAAGCUCCAAUUUAAAGUACAUUUAAACAAAAGAAGGAAUGAAAACAAACAUCAAAAGAUGAAAGAAGUGAACAGAUUUUGUUAAUCUAUAACUAGAAUAUAUUAUUAUUGAAAGCCAAUUGAAUUUAGAAUUCAACGCAAUUUAUAGCUCACAGUUCGGAGUUUUAUAUCGAAAGGGUACUUGUGAUCGCUAGAAGGCAAAGGAAUAAACUAUACUCGAUACAAUUUUGGGGUUAAUAUUGACCGGAAAAGAGAAACACUUCAACUUAUAAAUACCCUCAAAUGUAGGGAUGACAAACUUGCUCUUGAACGCUCAUUCAAAGGGUGAAUUGCAAAUGGGAUUCAACCUUUCACAAAAGUGCCUUAAGUCCCAAGCUUUUUAUUUUUGACAUCACAAUACCAAACAUUUGCAAAAAUAGGCAACAUAAGGACUUUUGAAUAGAUUUUGCUCAAAGGUCCCUUAGUUGGCCAAAAAUUAAAGAUAAACCUUCAUUCAACUAUUAUUAAGAAGAAAUGGUCCCUCUAUAUUGCAAAGAGCAAUAUCACCAAAUGGAUUCAUGUCCCUAAUUUUAGGAACCUCCUCAAGCUUCUCAGCCCGGUCUUGAGAAGAAGACUCGGAAGCACUAUAAAUCGUAUUAAUAACUAAAUCAUUGGAUGAGAAAUCAAAAUUAAGAAGUGGGAAUCAACCUGUGAAAUUGAUCAAGUGGUAUACCUCAUUCUUGAAAAUCUCUCAAGUCGAGAGUGGUUUUUAAUAAGAACAAAAUAAGGUUAUUUCAACAAGACAACUAAGAAGAAAGCCACUCUCUCUUAGCAUGCAAAUGUAGGCCAUUUAUAGAUUCCAAUCUCAAGUGUGCAAGGGGAGGAGAUUUUCAUCCUUGACAAACUGCUUUAGCAAAACGAAAUGACGAAAGCAAAUGAUAAAAACAGUGAAGAACAAUCAAAGAAUUGAAUAUAAUGCCAAAGUGCAAGAGGAAACUAGCAAGGACCAAAAUGUCUCAACACAAAGAAAACAAAUUUACCCCCUUUUUUGCACCAAGAAAUACAUUUACGUUCAUGUUUUCAUCGUUCCAGAACACAUAAUACAGUUCAUUUAUUUUUUUAUUUUCAACAAGUUCUCAAGAAAAUUGAUUAAUUUCCUUCCAUCUUCCAACCGAUUAAAAAAAGAUCACCAAUAAUGAUUAUCAGUGAUGACCAUCAUCUCCACCUCCCUUGGCCUUCUGUGCAGCUGCUCUCAGCUGGCGCUGCUCCUCCUUGUAGAUCCGAUUCCUGCGUUGGAACUGUAUUAUACCACCGACAGAAGCCAAGUGAGACUCGAGGCGUGUACAAAAUCAUAGCAAAAAACCUAGGGAACAGAAUGCAAACAACUCCUUAUUUUGAUUAUAAAUCUGAACUGUAAAACAUUAUUUUCAGCCAACUUGCAUGUCUCGUCAGAUUAUUGGAUAGAGCCCCCAAAUCACAAACAACCUAGAUAUUUAUUAAAGGAAAAAAAAGGGGACAGAAAGUGGAUAAGAGUGGAGAAGUGAAAAGAGCUUAGUGAUAGUGAGAUCAUUGUUUUCAAAAGUGCCGCGGCUUAUGCCUUGAGCAUGCCUCAAGCGAGGCCUUCAUAAGAGCCUCAAAACUUAUGCUUUAUGAGCCAUUUGCGACGAAAAAUUAGAAGGGAUAUUAUUAUAUCCAGUUUCCAAUUUUAAUGCGUAUUUUAGGAAACAUUAUUAGGGUUUGAUUUAUAUUCUUUAUAUUAUUUUUAGGAUCUUUUGAAACCCUAUAUAAAAGCAUCUUAUGCGACCUAAUUCAUAAGCUUUGAUAUAUGAAAUUAACUGAUUUCUCCCCCAAUUUCUAUCUUCCUCUCUCCCUUUUUCUCUCUUCUCCCCCUCCUUUCUCCUCUUCUCUACCCUUUUCCUUUUGCAUCCGACAUUAAUUUGUCAAAGAACUUGCUUAGGCGCAAGCCUUGUGGUAUAAGCUCACGCGUGUGUGCAUUAAUCUUGCCUUUUGGGAGGAACAUUUUUUGCUUGACUUUUGAAGCUAGUCUUGUUCAUAACCUUAAACAUUUGGGUUGUGCUAAAAGAGCCAACUCUAAACUAGAAAGAUAAGAAUUAGAGAUUAAAUAAGAUAACAAGAGUCAAGUGUGUCCUAGGUUCCUAAAAUUGAAGUGAGAAACCUCCCCCAAGUGAAGUCGCAAAUUUUUGGAGAGGUAGACCAUCCGCACCACAUAACUUCCUUUUCUGUUUAUUUUCAAUUUUUCCUGUUGUCUUCAGGGAAAAAAAUCUGGCGAAGGACCCAUGGGAUAAAGGGGUCUUUUCUUUUUUUGGGUUGUGGUGGGGGGGGGGGGGGGAUUUUUUGGGGGGGGUGGGGGGGGGGGGGGGGUUGUUACUGGUGAGGAUUUUGAUGUGACUGGUGAGGAUUUUGAUGUGUUAGAAAGAUUUAAAAGCAGGGCUCAAGUAAGAUAUACAAAUCAAAAAGCAAUUAGGUCAAGUCAACUCAGCAGGCAACCAGUUCAACCCUCCUUCCUCAAUUGACAUCUCCACCCAUGCUGCUUUGUUUUGACAAUGAAGAAAAAAUGGAAAGACAGAAGCCUUUGUGAAAGAAAGAUGAUGUCCAGUUGCUAUUACGAUUUUUUACAGGAUAGAUUUUAUCUGACUUCUGAAAUAUCCAUAAGUUUUACUUGCAAACCAUCCUAAGUGGAUGCAACUGAAAAAAAUUGCAGUUUGACAUUCAUCCAAAGGGAAUGGGUUUGAACAGAAAGUUCAUAUGUUAAGGUGCUCGUAAUUACUAAAGAACCAGUAUGGAUGAGAGCUGGGAAAAGAAACAUAAUUGCGCUAGAAAGAAUAUCAUUGUACAAAGUGCAAACUUACAAACUGUCAUAAAAUGACAUGAAGACAGGAUAUAAGCAAACUCCCAGAUAGAAUGCUUUUUGGAAAGAAAAAGAAUGACAGAGAAAUCAUUACAAAGUGCAAACUAUUACUAAUCCAGAAUCUAUCUUUUCCUAAUUGAAAUAAGACAAACUCACGUGGUUUCGCAUAUCUAAAUUGUUGAAUUACCCCUCAAGAAAGUACAAAUUAACAAUUAAUUUUAACCACAUAUUUCAUAGGACCCAUAACUUUUCACCCACACAUUUCAUCAACUUUUAUCAAAAUCUACUAAAAAUAUGAUUUUUGAUCCCCUCCAAACGGGGUUAAAUAAAACCAUGUAUUCAAUUGUCUACAAAAUUAUAGUUCAAGAAGCUUCCGCAGAGCAGCAUACUGAUGAAAAAAGGAAGAAUCUAGCCCAUCGGUUAUCCAUGUGGCUAUGAGAACAAAAGCAAGACCCCUUUUAGUGGCUCCUGGUCUCGCCUGACCAGAUUGAAUAAGAAAUAAAAGCAAAAAUUGAAAACUAAUUUAGAAAUUAAAAAAAUUGAAAAGCCAACUUAUUAAAAAAAAAUACUCAACAUUUAAAAAUCUAACUUUUGUUAACUAUCUCAGUUUUUUUCUUUUCACAUUGCUCCUAUGCUUUUCAAAAUACAAAAAUUGGUUUGGCUUAUUUGGGUGAUAACAUAGAUUCCAACUUAAUUUAGCUGCACCCAUCAGAUUGCGUCAAACAAACACAUUCUUCGACGGCUAAAUUAUAUUAAAAAUCCUAGAUACUUCAUGCUUUUCACAACAGUGACCUAUGUUUUUAUUUGCACAAUUCAAAUAUUAUCCUUUUCAGAAUAACUCCAACCAAAUUCUGGUGAGACUACUAUUUUUCAAUAAGCAAACUUCAAAUAAAAAAUUGUCAUAUUGCAUGGCAUCCAACUCGACUCUGACAAGUCUCAUUAAUUUAUAGAUCAAAAACUUAAAGAGGCUGUGCAAAGAGAAAAGGGAAAAACCCAACACCAUUCAGUAUCACAAUAUCACUACAGUCACUGUUGCCCUUGCACCACCACCAUUCCACCACAUGUCGUCAUUGCUACGCUGCCAUCCUCUCCAUAUUACGCCACCGGUGACACAAUCUCUUUAACAGGCAUCACCGCUAAUGACCAUGUGUAGGCAGCAAUACUGAUAUUAACAAUUGCAAAUAUAAUGUUGCUUGGAUUUUGGAUUAAGACAAUUCUAAUGAUCCUCUCAUUACCUUCACUAUCUUUUUUCUCAAAUCUUGACAUGUAAGUUAAAAAGUUACAUUGGAGUUGAGUAAAAUUAUAAAGCAUUGUAAUUGGUCCACCAAAAAUUUUUGCUAGAAUCCACAAUAUCAUUUACAUAGACACCUAGGCAAAGAUCACUAAAAUCUAGCUGUAGACUGCAUUGUUCAUAUUUAUAAAGAAUGGGAUUCAAACUGCAAAAUUUAAAGAAUGGAAUACAAUUAUGAGAAAGUGUAAUGCAUAGAAAAUUCUUAAUGCAAUUUAGCAGUAUAUUAAUAGGAUUUGUCACUAUCAGAGUCGAUAAGCCAUUACAUGGGCAUGCCAGUUUUCAUCACUUGAUUAUAGGAUACCAUUAUUGUAUCUUAUUAGAAUGAGCAUCAGUUAUGCAAAAUAUAAAUGGAUUGAACAUUGUAGUUAAUAUGCCAAGAUACUUAUAACAAAAGUGAAGUAUAAUCACAAGUUAAUAUACAGGGCGGCCCUAAUAUUUUGGAGGCCUUAAGCCAAUUUUAAAUAUGGGGCCUAUUGAAGAAAAAUCAUUGUAUUCUUACUUGAGCCUUUUUGCAUAGAGUUUUAAUAUAAUGACGAAGAAUCUAAUACCGACAACUCAACCCCAAAAUUUGAAGAGGAAAAUAACAAAAUGUAAAAAUUCAACAUACAAUACAAAUUAGAAGUGAAGUUUGUCAUACAGAACUACAAUGCAAUGGCAAUGGGUCUGUUCGUUUCUUUGAUCAUUUUUUCACUAUAACUAUUUAAAACAAAAUUAAAUAUGUAUUUGAGUGAAUUAUGUACAAAAUCGGAGAAUGUUGAUUGCAAGAGAUUAUAUAACAAAAUAAUGAAAAUGACGAUCAAAUACAAAUGAGCUUCUAAUUUUAUAUUAAUUCAUACUGAAUUAACUUUAAAAUAAGAAGAAAAUAAGAAGUAUGAACACGGAUAAAAAAUUAUUAAAUUCAAAGUACCUUUAACAAGCAUAAAAAAAGCUAUUAUAAUGAGAUUAAAGCAAAACGAUAACAAUAACAGCCUAUGAACUUUGUAAUAUAUAUUUUUACGAUAAAGGAGAAAUUAAAAAACCUGUAAGGUCGUAAUAAUCGCAGUGAUACUAGACCAAUAUAUUAAAUUGAAUCUUCAAAAUUUUAAUUCAACGUAAGAUAAUUCAUUUCUUGUUUGGUGAAAAAAAUUAUGGUGGAUUACUGUUGAACGUGAAAUUUGAAGAGACAAAGGGACAUUUUUGGUUUGGUUAAGGAAAGAAAUUGGAUAUUUGGAAGCUAAAUGGUCAAAUUAAUUAGAGAGAGUGAUGUUUGGAUAUAUUUAUAUGAUGUGAUAAGCUUUAUGCUAUUUAUAUGUUUCUCUAAAGAUUUUUGUAUUUUCAAUUUUUAUUAGUUUCUUGUGCUUGCAUAUUAAUCAUUCUAUUUUAAAGAACUUCAUAAAUGUAAUUUUUAUUUUUCUUCAAUCAAUUAACCUUACAUAAUUUGGGGUCAUCACCAAAGUGGGGUCUUAUACGUUUGCCUAUCUCGCCUAUAGUCAAGGCCGCCACUGUUAAUAUAUUCUCAACCAUAGAGCUGAACUCCAAUCUAGAGCGAACUCAAAGAAAACAAUUCCCGCUAAAAUAAUAAACAGUCCAGAUAUAGCCCUAAAUGACAUUAUAUUUAUAUUCCGAUUUAAUCCCUAAGCAAAAAAAUUGAAAAAUGUCAGAUUCUAAUUUCUGCCCAUCCCUAAUUUGAAGGACCGAAUUAAACUAAUUACUACAUUUCAUUCAAUGAUUCUCUAUGCUAAUCGAAAAGUAAUAAUUUUAGAGCCUAACAAAAAAAAAAAUUAACAAGACCCUAAUUUAACGAAAUCUUACCAUCAGAGCUGAAAUCCAUAAUAACACAAACAUCAAGAUUGGGGUUUCAGGGAGAGUAGAUAAAGAACGGACCUCUUUGGAGUGGUGAAGGCACUCAAAAUAGUCUUCACGGAGCAGAGCACAGUCCUUGGGCUCCCGGCAACGGGACAUGCACUCGCUGAAAUCCAUCCAAAAAUCGUAGCACCUCCCUUUGUUCCCCGUUAUACCCCAUCCUGAUGCCAUUUUACGCCGGCGAUCUCUCGACAGUGGAUUUUUCUCGAACCUUCCGUCAGCUCAGUGGACUUUUUGUUUCAUGUUGUGCGAGUGAACACGAGUUCGGUUCUGAGCCGAUUUAAGGGUUGUUUAGGUAUUUUAGGUUAUAAGUACGUUAUAACCGAGCCACAAUUAAAAUAUAGUUUCAAUAAAUACACCACAAUAAAUUUAAAAUUAUACUCCUAAUACAAUAAAAAUUUAAAAAUAAAAAAAUACAAUAUUAUGAUGUCCUCGUCUACCUAAGAAAUCUGUUAAAGAAAUUCAAAAUGAAUGGAAUGCUGUGAUUAUUUAAAAUUGCUGCUUAUUAUUCUUCAAAGCACUACGUGAUCGAGGAUCUAAUGUACUAACAAUCUACAAAACCAACAUAGGCCUUGUAAAGUCUAUAUGCAUAUAGAUAGAGCGUUAAUCACACAUGCAUAAACAUAGUACUUAUAUGUGUAUGAAUUUUUACUCCUUGUACAUCAAAAUGAUAUAUAAGGAGUUCAACACAUAUAUCGGGAAGGCAAUUCAAUGACAUUGGGAGGGCAAUUCGGUGGCUGAUAUCCUGUUGAAAUUGGGAGCAUCUUGUGUUUCACAAAUUUGGAUGGACUCUAUGUUGCGAGGCUUUUUUCCUCACAAUUUGUCUUUAAAUCUUCCAAUGUUAUUUUAGAUUACACGGAGUUUGGCUUACUUUGAUUUGGAUAGUGAAUUGCAAAUGUGUAACUACGGUAUUCUUUCACCACAAGUAAGAGUUUAUCAAUAAAAGAUCGUUUAAAAAAAAAGAUAUAUAAGGAGAUCGUUUAAAAAAAAAAGAUAUAUAAGGAGUUGCCGAAUAUGAUGUGAAUGGAAAGUAGAUUCAAAAAUUGACUAUAUUUUAAACUAACAAAUGAUAAUGUGCUAUAUGAAUAUUAUGUAAUUCCGUAUAUAAAUAUUGAUAUAUAUGUAGCAAGAUCCAUAUGUACGUAUAUACGUUAUCCUAAUUAAUUUUCACUAAUUAAAAACCAAGCAGUCCGAUAUCCAAAUUCAUAACUAUAUAUAUAUAACAUGGAAAUAACACAAUAGAGUGUAAGUUCACUAAUCCUGAGGAAAAGAGAAUUAUAUUGUCAUCAUGGAAGAAAGCAAAAAGUUGCCAUUAACGGAAAAGAUGUGUGCAGUUAGAAGUUGAGAAAAAAGAAAGACAAAAAUAAUGAUAAUAAGGUUAUGUUUGUGGUGGAAUAAUAAUUUAUUUUAGGAUAAUUAUAUAUUAAAAUUCUAAUUAUGUAAUUUUAUUUAAGGAUAUUUAAGUAAAUAAGAACAUUAUUAAAAAUUGUGGAGUGCUUAAUACAAUUUGUGGUGAUAAUAUAAUUACCUUGAUUAUUAUUGGGUAAUUUCACACCACAAUUUUUAUUUAUUGCAACACAUUUUAAUUAAAUUUAAGAUUUUUAAAUUUUGUUUAUUAUAAUACUUAUGUCCCUAACAGUUUUUCAUGUUAUUCUUAGCCUCAAAAUUUUCAUUAGUUAACACACUUUAAUUUAAUAACAAUUUUAUAUCCAAAAAUCCGUUGAAUUGACAUAAAAGAAUUUAUUUUUCCUUCAUAUUUUAAAAAAAAUGAAUAAAAAAUAAAAAGUAUAAAAAUAUAUUUCCUUGUGAUUAAAUCUUUUAAUAUAAAAUCAUCAUUAAGGACAAGACAUACUAAUUAAAAAGAUGAAGAUAAGAAUUCGAAGGAAAAAAGUUAAUGAAAUAAUUUCCACAGUGAACAAAGAUUGAGAAGCUUAACGUUAAUUAAGAUAUGAUGUGACAAAUAAAAAUGAUGAUGUCAAUAUAAUAAACCUUUAUUAUUUUCAAUGGAUUGAUUAUAGGGGUUUAUAUUCACACCUAGGGAUGUCAACGAAACGAAUCGAGUCGAGUCGGUUCGCGAGCCAAAAUUUUUGGCUUGGGCGCGGCUCGAACUUUUCUAAGACAGGCCUUUUUUAACUCGAGCCGAGCCGAGCAAAAUCUCAGUCGAAAAAUUAAGACUCAACUCGAGCUUUCGGCUCGGGCUUUACUGAGCCGGACCGAACUUGAUUUCUGGAAGUUCAUUUAUUUAUUUUUAUAUACCUCUAGCUGCAGCUGAUUUUUCUUUCUUUUUUCUUUUUUUUUUUAAUACGGGCUGGGCUUGCCCGACUCGAGUCAACUUUCAAAAAUGAGGCUCGGCCUGAGCUUUGGCUCUGUGCCUCCGAGCCUCAAGCCGAGCCGACUCGAGCUUUUUCCAAGCCAAGUUACGAGUUGUCUAAGCCGACGUGCCGAAUUGCCAUCCCUAGCCACACCACAUGUGUAAUAAAUACACUACAUUUCAAUUACAUUGAAGAUAAUUAAUCUUUAUUUAUUAUCACAUUUAUAUUUUAACUUUUUUUCUUCAUUGUAUUCUUAACUUUAACAUUUUAUUAUUAUUUUUUUUUUUGUUUUUGUGAAAGGUAAUCAAUUAUUUUAUUAAUCAAACCACAAUAAACAGAACUUUAACAUUUUAUUAAUAAAAAAAAAUUGUCCUUAAUCACGAUAUUCUCUCAAAAUAAUAUUUAACGUGCUUUAAAAUGAAGAUCAAAUAUUUAUUAUUAUUUUGCUUCUUUAAAAGUGCAAUGGGUAAAUGACUCCUUUUACUCAUCUUAAAUAAAUUUUUCAAGGGAAAUCAUGAUCAGGAUCAAAUGUUGUUAAUUUAAAAGUAAGAAUGCAAUAAAUAAAUAAAUAAAUAAAAAGCUCGAGACAUAAAUGUGAUAAUGUGUAAAAAUUAUGAACAUUUUUUACAAUUAAAAUAUAGCUAGUUAUCAAAAAAGUGUGGUGUGAAUGUACAACAAUUAUUUUAUUUUAUUUUUAUGAAUACACGGUAUUCAUCAUUAUACUUAUAUUCUCAACCCUUUUUUCAUCAAAAUCUUAUUUUUAACAUUUCAUUGAUCGAAAAAUCUUAUUCUUAAUCUUGAUUUUUGUUCAAAAAUGAUAUUAACUUGCUUUAAAAUGAGUAUCAAAUAUUUAAAUGCAUUUUUGUACUAUUAUUAUUUAUUUAUUCUACAUAUUUAAGAAUAUAAUGAGCACAUGUGUCUUUCUACUCUAUCUUAAAUAUAAUUUUGGAAAGAAAUAAUAAUCAUAAAUAGUUUAUGUUAAUUUGAGAAUAAGAGUACGAUGGAAAAAGUUUGAAACAUAGAUGUAAUAAUAUAUAAAUGUUAUAAACCUUUCGUAUAAUUAAAGUGUAGUCUAGCUAUUAAAAAUUGUUGUGUGAAUAUAUUUAACAUUUUGAAUAAUGCAUAGCUAUAUAACAGUAAUCUAUUAAAUCUGUUUUCAUCCAAAAGUCGUGUUCAUGGGUGUGAGAAAGACUAAUUUGUCCCUCCAUUUUAAAUAAGUAAAAAAAUACAAGAGUUUAAAAAAUAUAUUUUUCAUCUCAACUCAAAACACACUGACCAAAUAUUUAAAAAUUUAUUGUUAAGGAUAAAAUGUGCUAAUUAACUGAAAGUUCGUGAUAAAAUAUUACGUAAAAAGUUCAGGACAUAAAUGAGCAAAAGUUGAAGACUUUCGUUGCAAUUGAAAUAUGUUGUAGUUAACAAAUAAUGUGACGAACUUUGCUCCAGACCUAGUCGAAGUCCUAGUGGAAAACAACAUUCUAAAAUGUUGUAAUUCGAGGAUAGAGUUGAUUAAAAGAUGCAAAAAAAUAAAUAAAUAAUAAUAAUAAUUAAUAAAUAAAUAUGAAGCUGUGAUCUUAAAGCUCAACGUGAAAUUGGUGUAAACAAAAUAUUUUCGAAGUGUGGAUGCAUGUUGAGAAGUACCAUUAUCAUUCUAUGAAGUAUCAACAAUUCCUAUUAGUGAUGGCAACAGGGCGGGUUCGGUAUGGGGCACCCCCAUGGCCACUACCAUGAAGUCAACAAUGAUAAAAACAUGAAUCACCAUCACUUCUAACAACAAUCAUGAAGAUGAUGGCAGUGGUGAUCAUGUUCUUGUUAACAAAGGGUUGUAGCUGGGGAUGUCAAAAGGGUCAAGCCUCUCAGCUCGUCGAAAUAAGGCUCGUGGACGACUCGCGCUCAUAAAAUCACGAGCCCGAGCACAAGCCGAGUGAGCCUCGUCGGGAGGCGAGCCGAGCCAGCUCGGCUCCUCUCUCGCCCACAAGGGGUUCGUUGAAACGAGCCGGGCUCAUGGCUCGCGAACUAUAAUGACCGUUUUGGUCACUUUUCAGUGACGGUCACUGAAUUUAUUUUUUUUUUGCUUCUACUAUAAAUACCCUAUAACUCCCCCUUUUUUUCCAUAUCAAUUAUCUCCUCUCAAUUGCUACUUCUCAUUUCUCAACUCUCUCAACUCUAUUUUAUUAUAUUAAUUAUCGAGUUUUUACUCUCUUAUACUCCAAAAUGUAUAAUAUCGAUUCAUUUUUUACAGUUUAUUCAAUUACAAUAUCAAUUCUCACAAUCUCCCUACAUUUAUAUUUUUCUAGUUUAUAUUUGGAUUUCAACAUAAAUAAUCAAACAAAAUGGAUCAAUGCUCAUUUGUUGAGAGUUUAUUUGAUACGGGAUGUGGGCCACAUGGCGAAUAGCCUACGACACUCGCAAAGUCAAUUUUCAAAUGAAUUUGUCGGUCUAAAUGACGUACCCAUUCACGAAGAUGUUCACAUUCACGAUUAAGGAAACUACAAUUCAAUUGAUUUGGAUUAUAUUAAUAUUCACGAAGUGGAACACGAGGACGAAGAUAUCGAAUUAAACAUCCCAGAUGCGAGGGGAAAGCGAAAGGGCAAAAAACAAGCAAAAUGUUGGGAUCACUUUAAGUUGAUUUUAACGGAAAAAGUCGUCGAUGGCCUUACAGAAUCUAAAACAGUAUAUAAAUACUGCCAAUAAAAAUUGGCAUGGUAAAAAGGAUUUGGUAUCAAUCAUCUCAACCGCCACUACAAAGCAUGUGGGGCCAGACAUGAACUUCUUCCAACUAGUCAAACACAAUUGUAAUUUGACAGUCCAAGCGUCGAUUCUCCGACUUCAACCCUAUCAACGUGGGUGUAUUCAGAGGAUAAUACUUGAACCGGAAUGGUGAAAUUUGUUGCCACCACUGAGUUGCAUUGCAGACAAUCAAUACUUCAUCUCGUUCGUGAAAGAAUAUUUGCAACCAAAAUACGUUGUGGUAAGUCGAAACACUCUUCGUGCCGAUACAAUACAAUAUUUCAAUAAUUCAAAACAACAAUUAAUUAUGGAUUUACAACAAUAUGAGGGUGUUAUAUCUUUAACUUUUGAUAUAUGAGAAUAGGUUAAUAAAAGAACAUAUAUAGGUGCAACCGCACACUAUAUAAACCCAUUUUGAUACAUGCAUAAAAAAUUAUUGAUUUUAGAAUUAUUGAAUUUCCUCACAAUGCUAAUAAUAUAUAUAAUGCUAUUAUCAGUAAUGUUAGAGAAUAUAAUUGCGAGACUAAAAUUCGAUUUUUUUACUUUUGAUAAUGCUAGUAUUAAUAAGGUAGUCGUUGUAAAUUGUGCAGGACACUUCAACCUGAUUUUGGUGGGUAUUUGUUUCAUAUUCGUUGUGUGUGCCAUAUCUCGAAUUUAAUCAUGCAAAAUGACUUAAAACAUAUAAAUGAUGAAUUUCAAAGGAUUAGAAAUGUAUUAGUAUAUAUUACGAUCUAUCCUAAUAGAAAACAAGUAUUUAUAGAUUUUUGUGCCAAACUAGGGGUGACGACUGUUAAAACAUUUGUUAGUGACGUAGGCCAUAAAUGGAACUCUACUUACUUGCUAUAUAAGUCAUGUGAAGGUUUCGAACAUUUAAUAACUGACUUUUAUAACAAUAGACACAUUAGAAGUGAUGAUGAUGGUAUGUUAAAUGAACUCGAUUGAGUUUUAGUUUUGAAAGAUAAAUGAUUUUUGACAUCUUUUUAUAAGACUACAAAAGAUUUUAUUAGGCGUUUAUUAUCCAAUAAGUUGUAUGGUACUUGAACGCCUUUAUAUAAUUGCAAGAACAUUCCAUAAAUAUAAAAAUGAUCCUACUUUUAGUGAAUUUAUAAUUUCUAUAGAAUUAAAGUUUAGAAAAUAUUGGGAAGAACUGCCUAUGUUAUUUUCUUUAGCAUGGGUAAUGGGCCCCGAUAUAAUAUUUCGAGAACUAAAUACGCAAUUGAUCAAAUCAAUAAAGUCUUAAUAUUUGAUAAACUUAUCACCUAUAAGAAUUUAUAGUAAAUAUUAUGUGGAACGUAUGAUUUAUAUGUAGAAAGAAUGGGUGCGAAUGUUAGUUCGACAUCCUCUGCACCUAUUCUUUCGGCUGAAAUUGAAGAAGAUAAUGUCGAAAUAAUGAAUUUAUUUCAAGGCAUUAAUACA